Molecule: long non-coding RNA, 52095 nt
Filed under: Triticum aestivum (bread wheat)
Lineage: Eukaryota; Viridiplantae; Streptophyta; Magnoliopsida; Poales; Poaceae
Description: long non-coding RNA (TAES_LNC024650)
Source: RNAcentral
UUUUUUUGGGUUUUUCUAAGGUUUUUCAAACACACAAGAAGAAAGUAAGAAAAUAAAUCUAAGCAUGGAUGAUACAAUGAAAAAGUGUGAACACCUACAAAUGAAAAUAAGUGGACAUGAAUGUAAUGUCGGUGAGAACACGUACUCCCCCAAGCUUAGGCUUUUGGCCUAACUUGGUAGUCGAUCAGUAGCUUGGAUAGUAGCCUCCACUGCUGUGUUGUGAGCUCGGGCCUCGCUCUCAAGAACAAAAUAUCUUCCUUUGCUGUGAUAGUCAAAAAGAGCAGGCGCAGGUGAGGGAGUCCUGGAUUACGGGGUCCUCGGGUGUCCGGAUUACUCAAGAUGGGCCGGACUAAUGGGCCGUGAAGAUAUAAAGAUAGAAGGCCCUCCCUCGUGUCCGGAUGAGACUCUUCUUUGUGUGGAUGGCAAGUUUGGCGUUCGGAUCUGUAGAUUCCUUUCUCUGUAAACCGACUCUGUACAACCCUAGGCCCUUCCGGUGUCUAUAUAAACCGGAGGGAUUAGUCCGUAGAGCCAAUCAUAAUCAUACAGGUUAGACAUCUAGGGUUUAGCCAUUACGAUCUCGAGGUAGAUCAACUCUUGUAAUCCCUAUAUUCAUCAAAGUCAAUCGAGCAGGAAGUAGGGUAUUACCUCCAUUAAGAGGGCCCAAACCUGGGUGAAACAUCGUGUCCCUGUCUCCUGUUACCUUCGAUCCUCAGACACACUGUUCGGGACCCACUACCCGGGAUCUGCCGGUUUGGACACCGACAUUGGUGCUUUCAUUGAGAGUUCCGCUGUGCCGUCGCUGAGAGGUUUGAUGGCUCCAUCGAUCAUCUACAACAAUGCUGCCCUGAGGGAUAUUUUUCUCCCUGGCCAAAUUUUUGUGUCUGGCGGCUUCGCACUGCGGGCCAACUCGGUUGGCCACUUAGAGUAGAUCGACAGCUACCCCCCUGGUCAUUAGGCCACUUUUGGAAAUCUGAACUAUGUCGCUGAUAUCCGAGGAGACUUGAUCUUCCAAGGGUUCGUGGCCCCAACUACUGCUCUGGCCUUAAAUCCAAAGCACGUCACCAGGUCCGAAGACGGGAAUUUAAAGCCCGCCGGACUAUCUGCAGCUAUAGAGCUCGAUACUGGAGAACCGGAGGGGAUAGCAUCACGGGCAGGCCCAGAGUUACGUUGGACUCCCCCUAUCAUCAUAAAACCGGACUCUCCUCCGCACACUAGCUCCGAACCCUCGAAGUCCACGGCACGAGAGCUCAGCCAGGGAACUUUCGUCCCGCCCAACUCCACGGACUCUCUUUUUCCCGUCCAAACCUCGCUCUUAAACGAGGCUUUGGACUUAAUGCGAUCCCUCGCCAUCACAGAGGAAUCGCUUCCGAAUUGUGCUCAGCCCGGACUAGGGGCUAAAAGCAGGGAAAUUUACUUCCCACCCACCACCCACUUCAUUGCCACUGUUGAAGACUUAACCCACAUGCUCGAUUACGCCUCCGAAGACAUCGACAGUAUGGACGACGAUGCCGGAGAGGAGCAGGCCCAAAACCCGCCGUUCGUGGGACGCUGGACGGCCACUUCCUCAUAUGACAUGUACAUGAUGGACACACCUAAAGAGGGCGACGGCGAUGACAAGAAGGAUCCAGUCGAGUACGAACCUCCUGAGAUACCACCAAAGCGUCGACGUCAGCGGGCGCCGCUCCAAAUCGCGUCACGGAAAAGACAGCAAUACCGGCACCGGAGACGAUAACACUCCGGAUAACGCUGAAGAGCAAGAAGCCCCCAUCGAACAAACAUCCAAAUAGGAUGAUCGGGAGGACGGGCAACUUGACCCUGACGAUCCAGUCAGGAACGAGGACUCGGAGGAUAGCAACUAUCUACCACCCUCCAAAGACGAUGUAAGUCUCGACGACGAAGAUUUCAUCGUGCCGGAGGAACCCCUCGAACAAGAGCGCUUUAAGCACCGGCUAAUAGCUACUACAAGAAGCCUAAAAAAGAAGCAGCAGCAGCUCCAACCUGAUUAGGAUCUACUCAACGACAGAUGGACUAAUGUCCUAGCGGUCGAGGAAUACGGCCUCGAACGCCCAACUAAGAGUUACCCGAAGCGCAAGCUGCUACCCCAAUUCGACGAUGAAGCCCGGGAGCCCAUACCGCUAACGCGUAACUCUACCAACGAACCUGACCGACCACAACAUGGCUGGGACAGAGCGGCAACUCAAGCCGAUUACUAGCCCGCACCACCCCGCCGUAGAGGCAGAGAGACAGCGGUUGCAGGAUACACUUAUGACCUACGUCAGGACCUGGACAAUAGAGCCGGUCAGACCAGGUCAAUUUAUGGAUCAAGGGGACGUGCCCAAGCGCGAGAAGAUGGCCAUCAGGCCUGGCGCGACAAACACAAUCUCACCAGGGCCGAAAACCGCAUACGGACUUCAUCCGAACUGCGCCGUGACGUUGCCUGAUACAGAGGCGCCGCACACCCCCUAUGCUUCACCGAUGAGGUAAUGGAGCACCAAUUUCCAGAGGGGUUUAAACCCGUGAACAUCGAAUCAUACGAUGGCACAACAGAUCCCGCAGUAUGGAUUGAAGAUUUUCUUCUCCACAUUCACAUGGCACGCGGUGAUGAUCUACAUGCCAUCAAGUACCUCCCCCUAAAACUCAAGGGGCCAGCACGGCACUGGCUGAAUAGCCUACCAGAAAACUCUAUUGGUAGCUGGGAAGACUUGGAGGACGCAUUCAGAGACAACUUCCAAGGUACCUAUGUUCGACCCCCAAACGCCGAUAAUCUUAGUCACAUAAUCCAGCAACCCGGAGAAUCAGCCCGACAGCUCUGGACCAGGUUCUUAAUAAAAAAGAACCAGAUUGUGGAUUGUUCGGACGUCGAAGCCCUUGCGGCCUUCAAACAUAGCGUCCGAGAUGAGUGGCUCGCCCGACACCUCGGCCAAGAAAAGCCGAAGUCCAUGGCAGCCCUUACCGCACUUAUGACCCGCGUUUGCGCGAGACAGGAUAGCUGGCUUGCUCGUAGAAGCAAUAGCACCAGCGACCCUGGCACCUCCGAAUCCAGGGACGGCAAUGGCAAGCCAUGACACAACAAGCACAAGCGUCGAAACAAUAACGAAGGAACCCAAGACACGGCGGUCAGUGUCGGAUUCAGUGGCUCCAAAUCUGGUCAACACAAGAAGCCAUUCAAGGCAAACAGAGACGGCCCAUCUAGUUUAGACAGAAUACUAGAUCGGCCUUGCCAGAUUCAUGGCACCCCCAAUAAACCCACCAAUCGUACUGAGCGAGUCCUGGACUAAUGGGUCCUCGGGCGUCCGACCAGUUAUCUGUUGGGCCGGACUGAUGGGCUAUGAAGACAUGAAGACCGAAGACUAUACCCGUGUCCGGACUAGACUCUCCUCGGCGUGGAAGGCAAGCUAGGCGACCGACUAUGAAGAUUCCCUCUUAUGUAACCGACCUCAUGUAACCCUAGAUCUCGCCGGUGUCUAUAUAAACCGGAGAGCAUAGUCCGGAUAGGACAGAUUCAUUACCAUAUACUCAUAGGCUAGACUUCUAGGGUUUAGCCAUUACGAUCUCGUGGUAGAUCAACUCUUGUAAACACUCAUAUUCAUCAAGAUCAAUCAAGCAGGAAGUAGGGUAUUACCUCCAUAGAGAGGGCCCGAACCUGGGUAAACAUUGUGUCCCCCGUCUCCUGUUACCAUCGAUCCUAGACGCACAGUUCGGGACCCCCUACCCGAGAUCCGCCGAUUUUGACACCGACAUUGGUGCUUUCAUUGAGAGUUCCACUGUGUCGUCGACGAAAGGACUCGAUGGCCCCCUCGAUCGCCAGUAAUGAUGACAUCCAGGGAGAAACCUUCCUCCCCGGACAAAUCUUUGUGUUCGGUGGCUUCGUACUGCGGGCCAACUCGCUUGGCCGUCUGCAGCAGGUCGAUAGCUACGCCCCGGGCCACCAGGUCAGAUUUGGAAGCCUAAACUACGUUGUGGAUGUCCGUGGAGACUUGAUCUUUAAUGGAUUCGAGACCGCGGCAGUUGCUUCCCCGUGCUCCGACAAACAUGACUUAAAUCUGUCAUCGGACUACGUCCGGGAGAUGGAUCAUGUUGCUGCAACGGCUUCAGAAACAAAGCAGGCCGUGCCCUCCGAGGCCACAAAGCCUACGGCGUUGGAGCCGCACACGGACUCGACAUCCUGCAAUGCUUGCGUCAAUAGAACUCCGGACUCGUAUCCGGCCAUACGUUCCCGACCAGAUGCGCCUGCGGACACCGAGCUAGAUCGGUUAUCGAUUUUCAAAUUUAGCGCCGCAGACAUCUUCCAGCAUUCGCCUUUGAGUGACGUACUAAACUCUUUGAAGAAAUUCUCCUUGGAGGAAGACUCACAGCCGAACUAUGUUCGGUUCGAGCUAGAGGCGGACGACGAGGAAUUUUGCUUCCCACCCGCCACCCACUUCAUAGCCACCGUCGAUGACUUAACCGACGUGCUUGACUAUGGCUCCGAAGACAUCGACGGUAUGGACGACGAUGCCGACGGGGAGCAAGGCCAAGACCCGCCAUUCACUGGACGUUGGACGGCCACCUCUUCGUACGACGUGUACAUGGUUGAUACACCUAAAGGAUCUGGCAACGACAAAGAAGAGCCGGAUAAGAACAAACCCUCGGAGACGCAGUCCAAGCGCCGACGCCCCAAACGCCGCUCUAAGCCUCGACGUUCCAAAGACGGCAACACCGGCACCGGAGAAAAUAGCACUCCGGGCGACGCCGAAAACAAUGAGGAACCUAUCGGAGCUACGUCCGAACAGGAGGAAAACGGCAACGAGCAGGAUAACCCUGAUGAACAGGCCGUAGAAGAAGACCCGGAGGACGAUAGCUAUCAUCCACCCUCCGAGGAGGAGACAAGCCUCGACAACGACGAUUUCAUCGUGCCUGAGGAUCCUCUGGAGCAGGAGCGCUUCAAGCUACAGCUCAUAGCCACUGCAAGGAGCCUGAAAAAGAAACAGCAGCAGCUUCAAGCCGAACAAGAUCUACUCGUCGACAGAUGGACUGACGUCCUGACAGCGGAAGAAUACGGCCUCAAGCGCCCAGCCAAAAGCUACCCGAAAUGCAGACUGCUACCUCAAUUCGAUGAGGAGGCACCGGAGCACACAUGUCCCUCGCGCAAUGCGGAACGACCACCACGUGGUCGAGACAGGGCGGCCGACCGGCCACCACGCGGUCGGGAUAAAGCGGCAACUCAGGCCGAACAGCAGCCUGCCCAACUGCCCCGCAAGAAUAAAGACGGAAGAGUCCGGGGUCACACGUAUGACCUCCAGCAGACCCUGGACAGUAAAGCAGGGCAUACAAGAUCGAUCUACGGAUCGCGAGGACGUGCCUCGAGGCACGACGACGGCUACCUAUUAGGACGCGACAAACCUAACCACGCCCGGGCCGAAUACCGCAGACGGACUCCAUCAGAUCUACGCUGUGAUGCAGCCCGGUGCAGAGGCGCCGCACACCCUCUCUGCUUCACAGAUGAAGUACUGGAUCACGGAUUCCCUGAGGGGUUUAAGCCCGUCAAUAUCGAAUCAUACGACGGCACAACCGAUCCCGCAGUAUGGAUUGAGGAUUUCAUCCUCCACAUCCACAUGGCUCGAGGAGAUGAUCUCCACGCCAUUAAAUACCUCCCACUCAAGCUCAAAGGGCCAGCUCGGCACUGGCUUAACAGCCUGCCUGAAAAUUCUAUCGGUAGCUGGGAGGACUUGGAAGAAGCUUUCCUAGACAACUUCCAAGGAACAUAUGUCCGGCCACCAGACGCCGAUGAUCUAAGCCACAUAGUUCAACAACCUGGAGAAUCAGCCAGAAAAUUCUGGAGUAGGUUCCUAACCAAAAAGAACCAGAUCGUUGACUGUCCAGAUGCCGAGGCCUUAGUAGCCUUCAAACACAGCAUCCGUGACGAAUGGCUAGCACGCCACCUCGGCCAAGAAAAACCGAAAUCCAUGGCAGCCCUCACGGCACUCAUGAUCCGCUUUUGCGCGGGAGAGGACAGCUGGCUGGCCCGUAGUAACAACACAGCCAGCGAGACAUGCCCCUCCGAGGCCAAGAAUAGCACCGGCAAGCUCCGGCGCAAUAGGCACAAACGCCGAAGCAAUGACAACAACACCGAUGACACUACAGUCAACGCUGGAUUCAGUGGCUCCAAGUCCGGCCAACGGAAGAAGCCCUACAAACGAAAUAAUGAAGGACCUUCCAGCUUCGACCGCAUACUCGACCGUCCGUGCCAGAUAUACGGCACCCCGGACAAGCAAGCCAAUCAUACCAACAGGGAUUGUUGGGUUUUCAAGCAGGCUGGCAAGUUAAAUGCCAAAAACAAAGAAAAGGGAUCACAAAGUGAGGAUGAAGAGCCCCGGCAGCCGAACACUCGGGGGCAGAAGAAGUUUCCCCCUCAAGUCAAAACGGUGAACAUGAUAUACGCUACACACAUCCCCAAAAGGGAGCGUAAGCGUGCACUCAGGGACGUCUACGCAGUAGAGCCAGUCGCCCCCAAAUUCAAUCCAUGGUCGUCAUUCCCGAUCACCUUUGAUCGUCGAGACCACCCAACCAGUAUCCGUCAUGGCGGUUCGGCCGCAUUGGUCCUCGACCCAACCAUCGACAGAUUUCAUCUAACGCGAGUCCUAAUGGACGGUGGUAGCAGCCUCAACCUGCUCUGUCAAGAUACAGUUCGGAAGAUGAGCAUUGACCCCUCAUGAAUCAAACCAACAAAGACUACCUUCAAGGGAGUCAUACCAGGCGUCAAGGCCCGCUGUACGGGCUCAAUCACGCUGGUGGUCUUCGGUUCUCCGGACAAUUUCCGAAGCGAGGAGUUAAUCUUCGACAUCGUCCCAUUCCGCAGCGGCUACCACGCACUGCUCGGACGAACAACGUUCGCUAGAUUCAACGCAGUGCCACACUACACUUAUCUCAAGCUCAAGAUGCCCGGUCCACACGGCGUCAUAACAGUCAAUGGCAACACAGAAUGCUCCCUCCGAACAGAGGAGCACACCGCCGCCUUAGCAGCAGAGGUAUAGAGUGGCCUUCUCAAUAGCACCAUAGUGCGGCUGCCGAGCCCCUGGACACCGUCAAGAAGUUCCGAACUACACUGCAGCAGGACAACAAGGCUCGUCAAGAGCUCGACUAGCAAUUCGGCCUUCGUCCCAGUCCCAAUGAAGUAGUGGCAUUCGCACCACGCGUGCAUAAUUACGCACUCGAAAUUCCAUGGACAUCGACGGAGGCACAAGCCAACCCGGGAACUACAGUUCGGCUAGACCGACCCCGGACACACGUUUUCCUUUCUGUUUCAGGUUCCUUUUUCUGCAAGCCUGAUCACCAGCCCCUUCGAAGGAUUGGCAUACAAGGGAGGCAUGCAACAUAGGUGCGUAGGGUAACCUCCAUACGUUCUUCUUGACGGUAUUUUUACUCAUUACCCAGGACCCGCACGCUGCUCCUUCUUGAUUCCAGCAUGUUAAAUAUUCCGGGUGUUUAUUGCACUAUUUGUAUAAGAUACGCCUUGACGUAUCCAUUCAGUUAUAAUGAAAAUGAUUUGCGGCCCAGUUUCUGUGUUUUUUCGCUUUUUACUUCAUUUCAUUUCGAUCUGCUUAUCAGCCGCAUCGGUACUCUUUUGUACGCCUCAUAUUCGCCAGGGGCUGCUUAUCGCCCCACAAUACGGCAGAAAAGUCCGAACACUUUAUAUAUAUAUAAGCUCGGCACCCCGAAUUUAGCAUUAUAUGCAUUGGCUCCGAAUCAUGUCUUUGGUCAAUAGUUGGGUUGCCCGGCUCCUGUGCUUGCUACCCUACGUUCCGCUCUAUCGGCUAGGAUAGUAAAGGGAGAACUACUGCGAUUGUGCCCCGGCCUUGACCGGAUGAGCACCUCAGUAGAGAAAGCCGAAAACUGACUGUCAUGAUACGGCGAGAGCCGGUCAGCUGUUCGAGGGUUAUAAAAUCGUUGGAGAUUUCUUCCGCGUCACGCGAAGGAUCGACACUUCCCGAUCAGAUGCUGACAGCACCCUGGCCUGGACCAGGGGCUGUGCACGUGCUUAAUUAUAAAACUCCUAUGGCUAAGUGAGGGCGUUUAAGCCGUACAGUCUGAUUGCCUUGUUCGUUGCGCUAAACAACUCCUCCAAAGGACCAUAUAAUUGGAUAAAGAUUGUUUAGAUCCCAUCCCGAACACCUCUGUACUACCUACGUGAGGGCAGAAGCCGACGACUGUCCAACCCUCAGAUUACAAACAACACGGCCGCACAGGGGGAAACAAUUAAAGCACAAUAAUAUUGCAUUACGGGCUUUGUCUCCAUAAUACAAUGCAGGGGCAACAUGAAUACAUUCAUUCAAAUACAAUAUCCUGCGAACAUUGAGCUGCCGCAAGUCGAGACCCUUCUAGGACAUCCGCAAAAUAUCUCUCGGGUGUGUGGUGCUCCUUGCCCUUCGGCGGCCCGCUGGCAACUUCAACAGCAUUCAUCUUCGCCCACCACAUCUUGCAGCGAGCGAAGGCCAUACGGGCACCUUCAAUACAGGCAGAGCGCUUGACGACGUCCAGCCGCGGACAGGCUUCCACUAGCUGCCUCACGAGUCCAAAGUAGCUGCCGGGCAUAGCUUCGGCUGGCCAUAGCCGGAUUGUUAAAUCCUUCAUGGCUAGUUUGGCCACCCUAUGCAGCUCCACCAGCUGCUUCAGCUGAUCGGUGAAGGACACGGGAUGCUCUGGCGCCGCAUACUGCGUCCAGAAUAGCUUCUCCAUCGAACCUCCUCCUUCGGCUCGGUAGAACUCUGCAGCGUCUGAUACCCUACGUGGUAAAUCCGCAAAAGCCCCUGGGGAACUCUGAACCCGGGUUAGUAAAAGGUAUUGCUUCUCCGCAUACUUGCAUCUUAAAAGCCUUACCCGCCGUGAUCUUCCUAGCCUCCUGUAUCUCCUGGAGGGCGGCCCGGGCCUCAUUCCGUGCGGUCUCCGCGCUCUGACGAGCCUUGGAGAGUUCGGCCUUUUGAGCCGACGCAUCAUUCUCCAAGGUCUCACAUUUUUUCACCGCGUCUUGGAGCUCCUAUUGGACCUCCUUGACUCGGGCCUCUAGCUUUUUCCGAGCGGCUUGCUGCUCAAUGGCCUUCCCCUCGGCUUCGGCCAGAGCCUUUUUUAGGGCCUCCACCUCGGUUGCGGCUCCUGCACAUAUUUCGACAUUACGGUCAGUACGCAACGCUUGUUCUUUCCGAACACACAGCAAGACAUUACUCACCUUGUUCCUCCUGAAGCCGCAUUGUAACCUCGCCGAGCUUGUUCUCGGUCCGCUCCAGCUUCUGCUUUAAUCCAGAGACUUCGGCAGCAUGCGAGGUUGCGGCCAAUAGUGACGCCUGCUUAUGCACACAUGUUACGUUAGUCUCCUACAACAGAGGAUUGAUCCUCUGUCCGGUUCUUCUAUCCGAACACCGGACAGUGUCUCAGGGGCUACUGACUACAUGGGAUUUUUUCUCUUUCUAUAUCACUUACCUCAAAACCUAUUAACAGGCUGCCGCAGGCCUCAUUCAGUCCACUCUUGGCGGACUGAACUUUUUCGAUCACUGCACCCAUAAGGACACGGUGCUUGUCUAAGACGGAGGCGCUUCGUAGCGCCCCCAUCAGAUCAUCCGACGCUCCUGGAUGGACAGGAGCCACCGGUGGAGGCGGCACACCCCCCUCUUUCAAAGGGAGCUGCUUGCCCGACUCCGGAGCCAUAUGGGGCUCCGGAACCGUAUUCGGCUGAGGGUUCGGCCCUCUUCGCCAGUCUCCAUGGGGAUUGGAUCCCCCAUGUGUCCGGCAGUGGAGGUCUCGCCUUGUGGCGCCUCCCGAACAACGUCCUAGGCUCCUCCCUUCAGAGCGGUCCUCCGGGACAGCACUUCGGUGUCGUCCCUGGCCCCGGGGGAGUAAGCAGGCGGUGGCGACCUGCUCGCCAUCUCCGAUGAAGCCAACAAACCUCCAGAGGAGGAUGUCUGGAUAAGAUCACGGGCCGGACUGCAAUGGUGUAGUUAACCAUGUUAAAAUAAUAAAGAGGAAGAGCUGAUGUGCGCAUCAAUAAGCCGUGUCACUCACGAGGACGUCGUUCCGGACGGCUGUCAACGUCCCAUGCGGUGUUGGCCGCUGGGACGCCCUUCCCCUUCUUGGGCGCUUCCGCCUCCAGGUGCACCGAAGCCGCCCUUUUCUUCCUCUUCUUCUCCUCAGGGGAGGAUUGUUUUCUUCCUCCUCCUCUUCUUCCUCGUUAUCGUCCUCAGGGACGGAGGAAUGGGUCUCGUCGUCUUCGGACGGUGCAUCCGCAGCGCCCUUACGACGGGGGCCACUCUUGGUCCCCUUAGCCUUCCCUUUGGCCUUCUUCUUGGCCUUCUUCUCUGGCCCCUUAUAUGGCGCUGGCACCAGCAUCUUCGCUAGACGCGGGAUGACUGGUUCUUCAGGCAACGGAGCCGGACACUGGAUCCGCUUCGCCCUCUCCGUCUAGUCCUGAAAGAGCGAUAAUAAAAGCUCAGGCAUCGCCCUUGCAACGAACAGGCAGGGAAUAUGUUAAAAAGACAUACCUCACUGGCAGGAUGAUUAGCGUCGUGUCCGCGAUCUGAAUCCGAGGCCGACGGUUUUUCCUUGCCCUUAAAGCGCAACUUCCACGCGUCCUCAUGAGUAGUCUCGAAGAGCCUUACCAAGGUAUGGCGCUUCUUUGAAUUGAACUCCCACAAAGGGCGGCUUCGGCGUUGGUACGGGAGAAUCCGGCGAACUAACAUCACCUGGAUUACAUCUACGAGCUUGACGUUCUUGGCUGUCAUGCUUUGAACGCGCGUCUGCAACGCUAUUACUUCAUCGGAUGAACCCCAGUCGGGACUCUUCUCAAUCCAAGAGGUGAGCCGCAUAGGUGCACCGGAGCGGAAUUCGGCAGCCGCGGCCCAGGAGGUGCCGCGGGGUUCUGUGACAUAGAACCAUUGUCUCUGCCACUCCUUCACUGUCUCCACAAAAAUGCCUUUCGGCCAGGAGACAUGGGGCAGCUUGCUCACCAUGGCUCCUCCGCACUCCACGUGCUGGCCGUCCACCACCUUCAGCUUCACAUUGAAGACUUUGAGCCACAGCCCGAAAUGGGGGUGGAUGCGGAGGAAGGCCUUGCACACGACGAUGACGCCGAGAUGUUGAGGAAGGAAUUCGGGGACAGAUCAUGGAAAUCCACCCCGUAAUAAUACACCAGCCCGCGGAUGAAGGGGUGGAUUGGGAACCCCAGCCCGCGGAAGAAAUGAGGGAGGAAUACUACCCUCUCGUUGGGCUCCGGCGUGGGAACGAUUUGUCCCUCGGCCGGCAAGCGGUGGGUGAUUCCCUUCGCCAAAUAUCCGGCCGCCCGGAGCUCAGUAAUGUCCUCCUCCGUGAUGGAGGAGACCAUCCACUUGCCCUGACCACCGGAUCCGGACAUGGUUGCUUGAGCGGAAAAGAGAUUGGAACUUGGGCGCUGAAGCUCGAGAUCGGGAAGGCAGAGACAGAGAGAAAGCGUGAGAAGAGGAAGGGGGAAUCCUUAUCUGCUUAUAAAGGCAACAAAUAUUAAACGCCUCCUCACUCGCCUUGACAUUCGCCUAUUCCCAAGGGCUGUGUAAACGACACUGUUGGGUUACCCAUGCUCGCAUUGAUGAGAAUCCCGCGAUAAGGGGACACGAUAUCUGCUUUGACAAGACGUGCCAAUAAAACCGCUUCCCGAGACGCGGGGCGACAAGCUAGCCAACGGUUGGAAAUAAUAACCGGGCAGGCGUGAUACAAUGUCGUAAACAGUUGUCAGCGGAUGGGACUCGUGUAAAAAUAUGUAUAUUCUCUCUGCGAUUGUGCAUGGUGUGUGACAGGUCCGGAUACACUCAUUACAUCCGAAGACUAUCUCGGAGCUCGGGAGAAGGGAACCCGCCUUGCAAUGCCGAAGACAAUCUGCGCGCCGGACUCCUCGUCAUUGAAGCCAGGUUCAGGGGCUACUGAGGGAGUCCUGGACUAAGGGGUCCUCGGGCGUCCGACCAAUUAUCUGUUGGGCCGGACUGAUGGGCUAUGAAGACAUGAAGACCGAAGACUAUACCCGUGUCCGGACUGGACUCUCCUCGGCGUGGAAGGCAAGCUAUGCGACCGACUAUGAAGAUUCCCUCUUAUGUAACCGACCUCAUGUAACCCUAGAUCUCUCCGGUGUCUAUAUAAACCGGAGAGCAUAGUCCGGCUAGGACAGAUUCAUUACCAUAUACUCAUAGGCUAGACUUCUAGGGUUUAGCCAUUACGAUCUCGUGGUAGAUCAACUCUUGUAAACACUCAUAUUCAUCAAGACCAAUCAAGCAGGAAGUAGGGUAUUACCUCCAUAGAGAGGGCCCAAACCUGGGUAAACAUUGUGUCCCCCGUCUCCUGUUACCAUCGAUCCUAGACGCAUAGUUCGGGACCCCCUACCCAAGACCCGCCGGUUUUGACACCGACACGUACCAACAGAAAUUGUUGGGUUUUUAAACAGGCCGACAAACUCAACGCCGAACACAAGGGGAAAGGGCCGCCCAGCGAUGACGAUGACCAAGAGCCUCGUCAACCGAACAUAGGGGGACAGAAGCAAUUUCCCCCCAAGGUAAAAACAGUGAAUAUGAUACAUGUCACACAUAUCCCUAAGAGGGAGCGCAAGCGCGCAUUACGGGACGUCUACGCCAUAGAGCCGGUCGCCCCAAACUUCAACCCAUGGUCCGCUUGCCCGGUCACCUUCGAUCGAAAGGACCACCCAACCAGUAUCCAUCAUGGAGGUUCGGCAGCUCUGGUCCUCGAUCCAAUCAUCGACGGAUUCCACCUCACGCGAGUCCUCAUGAACGGCGGCAACAGUCUGAUACGUCUCCAACGUAUCUAUUAUUUUUUAUUGUUCCAUGCUAUUAUAUAUUAUGUUUUGGAUGUUUAAUGGGCUUUAUUAUACACUUUUCUAUUAUUUUUGGGACUAACCUAUUAACCGGAGGCCCAGCCCGAAUUGUUGUUUUUUUGCCUAUUUCAGUGUUUCGAAGGAAAAGGAUAUCAAACGGAGUCCAAACGGAAUGAAACCUUCGAGAACGUGAUUUUCGAAACAAACGUGACCCAGAGGACUUGGAGUGGACAUCAAGCAAUCAACGAGGAGGCCACGAGGCAGGGGGGCACGCCUACCCCCUGGGUGCGCCCUCCACCCUCGUGGGCCCCUCGUAGCUCCCUGACCGACCUCCUUCGCCUAUAUAUACUCAUAUAUCCUGGAAACAUCAUAUACGGAGUCCAAACCGUAUUUCCACCGCCGCAACCUUCUGUAACCGUGAGAUCCCAUCUUGGGGCCUUUUUCGGUGCUCCGCCGGAGGGGGCAUUGAUCAUGGAGGGCUUCUACAUCAACACCAUAGCCUCUCCGAUGAUGUGUGAGUAGUUUACCUCAGACCUUCGGGUCCAUAGUUAUUAGCUAGAUGGCUUCUUCUCUCUCUUUGGAUCUCAAUACAAAGUUCUCCUCGAUUCUCUUGGAGAUCUAUUUGAUGUAACUCUUCUUUUUGCGGUGUGUUUGUCGAGAUCCGAUGAAUUGUGGGUUUAUGAUCAAGAUUAUCUAUGAACAAUAUUUGAAUCUCCUCUGAAUUCUUUUAUGUAUGAUUGGUUAUGUUUGCAAGUCUCUUCGAAUUAUCAGUUUGGUUUGGCCUACUAGAUUGAUCUUUCUUGCAAUGGGAGAAGUGCUUAGUUUUGGGUUCAAUCUUGCGGUGCUCGAUCCCAGUGACAGUAGGGGAAACGACACGUAUUGUAUUGUUGCCAUUGAGGAUAAAAAUAUGGGGUUUAUAUCAUAUUGCAUGAGUUAAUCCCUCUACAUCAUGUCAUCUUGCUUAAAGCGUUACUCUGUUCUUAUGAACUUAAUACUCUAGAUGCAUGCUGGAUAGCGGUCGAUGUGUGGAGUAAUAGUAGUAGAUGCAGGCAGGAGUCGGUCUUCUUGUCACGGACGUGAUGCCUAUAUACAAGAUCAUACCUAGAUAUUCUCAUAACUAUGCUCAAUACUAUCAAUUGCUCGACAGUAAUUCGUUUACCCACCGUAAUACUUAUGCUAUCUUGAGAGAAGCCACUAGUGAAACCUAUGGCCCCCGGGUCUAUUUUCUAUCUUAUUAAUCUCCCGUCAACAAGCUAUUUCUGGCGCCGUUUAUUUUGCUUCCUUUACUUUUAGUCUUUAUCAUAAAAAUACCAAAAAUAUUAUCUUAUCAUCUCUAUCAGACCUCAUUUUUGCAAGUGGCCAUGAAGGGAUUGACAACCCCUUUAUCGCGUUGGUUGCAAGGUUCUUAUUUGUUUGUGUAGGUGCGUGGGACUUGAGCGUGGCCUCCUACUGGAUUGAUAUCUUGGUUCUCAAAAACUGAGGGAAAUACUUACGCUACUUUACUGCAUCACCCUUUCCUCUUCAAGGGAAAACGAACACGGUACUCAAGAGGUAGCAAGAAGGAUUUCUGGCGCCGUUGCCGGGGAGUCUACGCACAAGUCAAGACAUACCAAGGACCCAUCACAAACUCUUAUCCCUCGCAUUACAUUAUUUGCCAUUUGCCUCUCGUUUUCCUCUCCCCCACUUCACCCUUGCCGUUUUAUUCGCCCUCUUUUUCCGUUCGCCUCUUUUUUGCUUGCCUCUUGUUUGCUUGUGUGUUGGAUUGCUUGUUUGUCAUGAUGGCUCAAGACAAUACUAAAUUGUGUGACUUUACCAAUACCAACAACAAUGAUUUUCUUAGCACUCCGAUUGCUCCUCUUACCGAUGCUGAAUCUUGUGAAAUUAAUGCUGCUUUGCUGAAUCUUGUCAUGAAAGAUCAAUUCGCCGGCCUUCCUAGUGAAGAUGCCACUACCCAUCUAAAUAGCUUUGUUGAUUUGUGUGAUAUGCAAAAGAAGAAAGAUGUGGACAAUGAUAUUGUUAAAUUGAAGCUAUUUCCUUUUUCGCUUAGAUAUCGUGCUAAAACUUGGUUUUCGUCUUUGCCUAAAAAUAGUAUUGAUUCUUGGAAUAAGUGCAAAGAUGCUUUUAUCUCUAAGUAUUUUCCUCCCGCUAAAAUCAUCUCCCUUAGAAAUGAUAUUAUGAAUUUUAAGCAACUUGAUCAUGAACAUGUUGCACAAGCUUGGGAGAGGAUGAAAUUAAUGAUACGUAAUUGCCCUACUCAUGGUUUGAAUUUGUGGAUGAUUAUACAAAAAAUUUAUGCCGGAUUGAAUUUUGCUUCUAGAAAUCUUUUAGAUUCGGUCGCGGGAGGCACUUUUAUGGAAAUCACUUUAGGGGAAGCUACUAAACUCCUAGAUAAUAUUAUGGUUAACUAUUCUCAAUGGCACACCGAAAGAUCUACUAGUAAAAAGGUUCAUGCGAUUGAAGAAAUUAAUGUUUUGAGUGGAAAGAUGGAUGAACUUAUGAAAUUGUUUGAUAAUAAGAGUGUUUCUUCUGAUCCCAAUUAUAUGCCUUUGUCUACUUUGAUUGAAAUAAUAAUGAAUCUAUGGAUGUGAACUUUGUUGGUAGGAACAAUUUUGGUAACAAUGCUUAUAGAGGAAAUUUUAACCCUAGGCUGUAUCCUAGUAAUUCCUCUAAUAAUUAUGGUAAUUCCUACAACAACUCUUAUGGAAAUUUUAAUAAGAUGCCCUCUGAUUUUGAGACUAGUGUUAAAGAAUUUAUGAUUUCUCAAAAGAAUUUCAAUGCUUUGCUUGAAGAAAAAUUGCCUAAGAUUGAUGAAUUGGCUAGAAACGUGGAUAGAAUUUCUCUUGAUGUUGAUUCUUUGAAACUUAGAUCUAUCCCACCUAAGCAUGAUAUCAAUGAGUCUCUCAAAGCCAUGAUAAUUUCCAUUGAUGAGUACAUAGAAAAAACCGCUAGGAUGCGUGCUAAGAAGAUUGCUUUGUGAAAGCGUGUUCUUCUAAUUUUUAUGAGAAUAAAGAUGAAGAUCUAAAAGUUAUUGAUGUGUCCCCUAUUAAAUCUUUGUUUUGCAAUAUGAAUCUUGAUAAUUAUGGGACUGGAGAUGAGUCAACUUUAUUUAGAAGGCGUCCCAAAAAUUCGGAGUUUUAGAUCUUGAUGCAAAAAUUGGUAAAAGUGGGAUUGAAGAGGUCAAAACUUUAGAUAGCAAUGAACCCACUAUCUUGGAUUUCAAGGAAUUUAAUUAUUAUAAUUGCUCUUUAAUAGAUUGUAUUUCCUUAUUGCAAUCCGUGCUAAAUUCUCCUCAUGCUUAUAGUCAAAAUAAAGCUUUUACCAAACAUAUCGUUGAUGCUUUAAUGCAAUCUUAUGAAGAAAAACUUGAGUUGGAAGUUUCUAUCCCUAGAAAACUUUAUGAUGAGUGGGAACCUACUAUUAAAAUUAAAAUUAAAGAUCAUGAAUGCUAUGCUUUGUAUGAUUUGGGUGCUAGUGUUUCCACGAUUCCAAAAACUUUGUGUGAUUUGCUAGGUUUCCGUGAAUUAGAUGAUUGUUCUCUAAACUUGCACCUUGCAGAUUGCACUAUUAAGAAACAUAUGGGAAGAAUUAAUGAUGUUCUUAUUGUUGCAAAUAGGAACUAUGUGCCCGUAGAUUUCAUUGUUCUUGAUAUAGAUUGCAAUCCUUCAUGUCCUAUUAUUCUUGGUAGACCUUUCCUUAGAAAGAUUGGUGCAAUUAUUGAUAUGAAGGAAGGAAAGGCAUGGAACACUUUCCUAGAAAAAAAAUUACCUUAUGAAUCUAUUAUGAGAGCCACUUAUGGAUUGCCUACCAAAGAUGGCAAUACCUAGAUCUAUCCUUGCUUUUAUGCCUAGCUAGGGGUGUUAAAUGAUAGCGCUUGUUGGGAGGCAACCCAAUUUUAUUUUAGUUUUUUGAUUUUUGCUCCUGUUUAGGAAUAAAUCUUUGAUCUAUCCUCUGGUUAUAUUUGUUUUUGUGUUUUAAUUAGUGUUUGUGCCAAGUAAAACCUAUAGGAACUUCUUGGAUGAUAGUUAUUUGAUCUUGCUGAAAAUUCCAGAAACUUUCUGUUCACGAAAACAAUUUUUGAAAAUUACCAGAACGUGAUAAAAUACUGAUUCCAAUUGAAUCAUAUCAAUAAAUAAAUUUUCUAGGUCGUCCUAUUUUGGUAGAAUUUUUAGAGUUCCAGAAGUUUGCGUUAGUUACAGAUUACUACAGACUGUUCUGUUUUUGACAGAUUCUGUUUUUGUGUGUUGUUUGCUUAUUUUGAUGAAUCUAUGGCUAGUAAAAUAAUUUAUAAACCAUAGAGAAGUUGGAAUACAGUAGGUUUAACACCAAUACAAAUAAGGAAUGAGUUCAUUACAGUACCUUGAAGUGGCGUUUUGUUUUCUUUCGCUAACGGAGCUCACGAGAUUUUCUGUUAAGUUUUGUGUUGUGAAGUUUUCAAGUUUUGGGUCAGGAUUUGAUGGAUUAUGGAACAAGGAGUGGCAAUAGCAUAAGCUUGGGGAUGCCCAAGGCACCCCAAUGUAAGUCCAAGGACACCAAAAAGCCAAAGCUUGGGGAUGCCCCGGAAGGCAUCCCCUCUUUCGUCCUCGUCCAUCGGUAACUUUACUUGGAGCUAUAUUUUUAUUCACCACAUGAUAUGUGUUUUGCUUGGAGCGUCUUGUAUGAUUUGAGUCUUUGCUUUUAGUUUACCACUUUCUUGCUCGCUGAAUACACUUUUGAGUGAGAUACACAUGAUUCGGAAUUUAUUAGAAUACUCUAUGUGCUUCAGUUAUAUCUUUUGAGCUAUAUAAUUUUUGCUCUAGUGCUUCACUUAUAUCUUUUAGAGCACGGUGGUGGUUUUGUUUUAUAGAAACUAUUGUUCUCUCAUGCUUCACUUAUAUCAUUUUGAGAGUCCUACAAAACAGCAUGGUAAUUUGCUUAAAUUGUGAAAUUAGUCCUAAUAUGAUAGGCAUCCAAGAUUAGUAAAGACUUUCUUAUAAGUGUGUUGAAUACUAAGCAAAGUUUGAUGCUUGAUGAUUGUUUUGAGAUAUGGAGGUAGUGAUAUUAAAGUUGUGCUAGUUGAGUAAUUGUGAAUCUGAGAAAUACUGGUGUUGAAGUUUGUAAGUCCCGUAGUAUGCACGUAUGGUAAACGUUGUGUAACAAAUUUGAAACAUGAGGUGCUCUUUGAUUGUCCUCCUUAUGAGUGGCGGUCGGGGACGAGCGAUGGUCUUCUCCUACCAAUCUAUCCCCCUAGGAGCAUGCGCGUAGUGCUUAGUUUUUGAUGACUUGUAGAUUUUUGCAAUAAGUAUGUGAGUUCUUUAUGACUAAUGUUGAGUCCAUGGAUUAUACACACUCUCACCUUUCCAUCAUUGCUAGCCUCUUCGGUACGUACCGUGCAUUGCCCUUUCUCACCUUGAGAGUUGGUGCAAACUUCAUCGGUACAUCCAAACCCCGUGAUACGAUACGCUCUAUCACACAUAAACCUCCUUAUAUCUUCCUCAAAACAGCAACCAUACCUACCUAUUAUGGCAUUUCCAUAGCCAUUCCGAGAUAUAUUGCCAUGCAACUUUCCACCGUUCCGUUUAUCAUGACAUGUUUCUUCAUUGUAAUACUGCCUUGCAUGAUCAUGUAGUUGACACCGUAUUUGUGGCAAAGCCACCAUGCAUAUUAUUUCAUACAUGUCACUCUUGAUUCAUUGCCCAUCCCGGUACACCGCCGGAGGCAGUCAUAUAGAGUCAUACUUUGUUCUAGUAUCGAGUUGUAAUCAUUGAGUUGUAAAUAAAUAGAAGUGUGAUGAUCAUCAUUCAUAGAGCAUUGUCCCAAAAAAAAGAGAAAGGCCAAAUAAAAAAGGGGAAAGGCCCAAAAAAAGAGAAAAUAAAGAAAAUAAAAAAGGGGACAAUGCUACUAUCCUUUUUUCCACACUUGUGCUUGAAAGUAGCACCAUGAUCUUUAUGAUAGAGAGUCUCUUAUUUUUUCACUUUCAUAUACUAGUGGGAAAUUUUCAUUAUAGAACUUGGCUUGUAUAUUCCAACAAUGGGCUUCCUCAAAUGCCCUAGGUCUUCGUGAGCAAGCAAGUUGGAUGCACACCCACUUAGUUUCUUUUGUUGAGCUUUCAUGCAUUUAUAGCUCUAGUGCAUCCGUUGCAUGGCAAUCCCUAGUCCUUGCAUUGACAUCAAUCGAUGGGCGUCUCCCUAGCUCGUUGAUUAGCCACGUCAAUGUGAGACUUUCUCCUUUUUUGUGUUCUCCACAUAACCCCCAUCAUCAUAUUCUAUUCCACCCAUAGUGCUAUAUCCAUGGCUCACGCUCAUAUAUUGCGUGAAAGUUGAAAAAAGUUUGAGAUUACUAAAGUAUGAAACAAUUGAUUGGCUUGUCAUCGGGGUUGUGCAUGAUGAGAGCAUUCUUGUGUGACGAAAAUGGAGCAUGACCAAACUAUAUGAUUUUGUAGGGAUAAACUUUCUUUGGCCAUGUUAUUUUGAGAAGACAUAAUUGCUUAGUUACUAUGCUUGAAGUAUUAUUACUUUUAUGUCAAUAUUAAACUUUUAUCUUGAAUCUUUCGGAUCUGAAUAUUCAUGCCACAAAUAAGAGAAUUACAUCGAAAAUUACGCCAAGAAGCAUUCCACAUCAAAAAUUCUGUUUUUAUCAUUUACCUACUCGAGGAUGAGCAGGAAUUAAGCUUGGGGAUGCUUGAUACGUCUCCAACGUAUCUAUAAUUUUUGAUUGUUCCAUGCUAUUAUAUAUUCUGUUUUGGAUGUUUAAUGGGCUUUAUUAUACACUUUUAUAUUAUUUUUGGGACUAACCUAUUAACCGGAGGCCCGGCCCGAAUUGCUGUUUUUUUGCCUAUUUCAAUGUUUUGAAGGAAAAGGAUAUCAAAUGGAGUCCAAACAGAAUGAAACCUUCGGGAACGUGAUUUUCGGAACAAACGUGAUCCAGAGGACUUGGAGUGGACGUCAAGCAAUCAACGAGGAGGCCACGAGGCAGGGGGCGCGCCUACCCCCCUGGGCGCACCCUCCACCCUCGUGGGCCCCUCGUAGCUCUCCUGACCAACCUCCUUCACCUAUAUAUACUCAUAUACCAUGGAAAACAUCAUAUACGGAGCCAAAAUCCUAUUUCCACCGCCGCAACCUUCUGUACCCGUGAGAUCCCAUCUUGGGGCCUUUUCCGGCGCUCCACCGGAGGGGGCAUUGAUCAUGGAGGGCUUCUACAUCAACACCAUAGCCUCUCCGAUGAUGUGUGAGUAGUUUACCUCAGACCUUCGGGUCCAUAGUUAUUAGCUAGAUGGCUUCUUCUCUCUCUUUGGAUCUCAAUACAAAGUUCUCCUCGAUUCUCUUGGAGAUCUAUUUGAUGUAACUCUUCUUUUGCGGUGUGUUUGUCGAGAUCUGAUGAAUUGUGGGUUUAUGAUCAAGAUUAUCUAUGAACAAUAUUUGAAUCUCCUCUGAAUUCUUUUAUGUAUGAUUGGUUAUCUUUGCAAGUCUCUUCGAAUUAUCAGUUUGGUUUGGCCUACUAGAUUGAUCUUUCUUGCAUUGGGAGAAGUGCUUAGCUUUGGGUUCAAUGUUGCGGUGCUCGAUCCCAGUGACAGUAGCGGAAACGACACGUAUUUUAUUGUUGCCAUCGAGGAUAAAAAGAUGGGGUUUAUAUCAUAUUGCAUGAGUUUAUCCCUCUACAUCAUGUCAUCUUGCUUAAAGCGUUACUCCGUUCUUAUGAACUCAAUACUCUAGAUGCAUGCUGGAUAGCGGUCGAUGUGUGGAGUAAUAGUAGUAGAUGCAGGCAGGAGUCGGUCUACUUGUCACGGACGUGAUGCCUAUAUACAUGAUCAUACCUAGAUAUUCUCACAACUAUGCUCAAUUCUAUCAAUUGCUCGACAGUAAUUCGUUUACCCACCGUAAUACUUAUGCUAUCUUGAGAGAAGCCACUAGUGAAACCUAUGGCCCCCGGGUCUAUUUUCUAUCUUAUUAAUCUCCCGUCAACAAGCUAUUUCUGGCGCCGUUUAUUUUUCUUUCUUUACUUUUAGUCUUUAUCAUAAAAAUACCAAAAAUAUUAUCUUAUCAUCUCUAUCAGACCUCACUUUUGCAAGUGGCCGUGAAGGGAUUGACAACCCCUUUAUCGCGUUGGUUGCAAGGUUCUUAUUUGUUUGUGUAGGUGCGUGGGACUUGAGCGUGGCCUCCUACUGGAUUGAUACCUUGGUUCUAAAAAACUGAGGGGAAUACUUAUGCUACUUUACUGCAUUACCCUUUCCUCUUCAAGGAAAACCAACGCAGUGCUCAAGAGGUAGCGCAGUCUCAAUCUACUCUAUCAAGACACUGUCUGCAAAAUGGGCAUUGAUCCGUCAUGAAUCAAGCCCACUAAAACUACCUUUAAAGGAGUAACACCUGGUGUAGGGGCCCGCUGCACGGGCUCAAUCACGCUGGAAGUCGUCUUCGGUUCACCGGACAACUUCUGAAGCGAAGACUUGAUCUUCGAUAUCGUCCCCUUCCGCAGUGGCUAUCACACACUGCUCGGAUGAACCGCUUUUGCCCGCUUUAAUGCGGUCCCGCACUACGCCUAUCUAAAGCUUAAGAUGUCCGGUCCACAUGGCGUCAUUACAAUCAACGGAAGCAUGGAACGCUCCCUUCGUACUGAGGAGCAUACAGCGGCCAUCGCGGCCGAAGUACAAAGCGGCCCUGUCAAGCCGCACACCCCAUCAGCUAUUAAGCCGCCGGACUUUAUUACGCAAGGCUGGUCAGUUCUGCAUGCUGGCACCCCGGCAAUUCCAGGGCUGGAUUAGCAGUUUCGCCUCCGUCGAUCGCCACAUACAUCACCGAAAUUCGUACUACGCGUGCACAAUUAUGCACUCAAAAUACCUUGGGUAUCAGCGGAGGCAAAGUACGGACAGGCCUAUAGUACGGUUCAACCCUAUAUGGCCCUCCCCUCAGUUUUACUUAUUUCUUCUCUCUUACCACAGGUGAAUCAAAACCUAUUCAUCCUACGGACUUAAAAGGACUCUCUCUGAGCCCGAUUUCGUACAAAUAAUCGAAGACCACUCCUAUCAAGGAAUCUUCCUCACUAAGGCGAAAGCAGCGCAGACGUGCAGCAGGAGGUCCAAAGGAUUUUGUAGACCAAAACUUUAUUUAAAAGAACCCGUAUAGAGCUUUUUUCCCUUAGUCGUAGACCCCCGGCAUGUAAAAUGGCCUUGGUGAUUAUGGUACAAUCUGUCAGUAUUACGUUUGAUGUAUCAAUCAGAUUCCAGUGAACAUACUUCUCAUUUCACCUUCAUUCAUAGACUGUGCUCCGUCUCUUUAGAUGUCUCACGCACACACCUCGGCACAAAUCGCCAGGGGUUCUAUAUGGCAACAUAUGUGUCCUCACACAAAAGCCCGAACAGAUUUAUAGCACACUUUGGCGUCCCGAGUUUGGCAUUAUAUGCACCGGCUCCGAAUCAUGUCUUUGGUCAAUAGUUGGGUUGCCCGGCUCCUGUGUUUGCUACCUUACGUUCCGCCUGAUCGGCUAGGGUAGUAAAGGGAGAACUACUGCGAUCGUGUUUCUGGUUCGUCCGGUGAAGCACCUCAGUAAAGAAAGACGAAAACUGACUGUCAUGAUACGGCGAGAGUUGGUCAGCCACUCGGCGACUUAUUAAAAUCUUUAGCGAUUUUCCCUUAUUAUACGAAGGACUGUUUUCCGGUCACAUAUGUAACGCAUCUGCAUUGGGAUAGCCACAUACAUACCAGGGGCUACUUUGUAGACCCAUCGUCAAACUCCUAUGGCUAAGUGAGAGCAAUAAAACCGCAUAGUCCGAUUGCCUGGUUCGCCGCACUAACACCUCCUUCACGGACCUAGAUGUUGGAUUAAGUGUAGUCAUGUGCAAUUCUGAACACCCCAGUAGUAUCUACAUGGGGGUUGAAGCCGACGACUGGGAACUCUCAGAUAUAAAAACGGCCGCACAGGAGGAUAAAACUCUUCAUAAAGGCAUGAAUAUAUUAAAAAAGCCUUAGUUCAUAAUACAAACUCCUGGAUAGUUCGGACUCGUUCACUCGAACACUAUAUCCUUAGAGCAUUGGCCUUCUACAAGGCGGGCACCUUUUAUACGUCCUCAAAAUAGCGCUCCGGUGUGCGGUGGUCCUUGCUUUCGGGUGGACCCUCAACUGACACCUUUUCGGCCUUCAUCUUCGCCCAGUGCAUCUUGACACGGGCGAAAGCCAUUCGCGCUCCUUCUAUGCAGGACCACCUCUUGACGGCGUCAAUUCGGGGCAGCGCAUCGACGAGACGCCGCACAAGGCCGAAGUAGCUGUCCGGAAUGGCUUCGGUCGGCCACAACCGGACUAUGACGUCAUUCAUGGCCGCGCCGGACAUCUUAUGCAGCUCCGCCCCUUGUGCCAUCUGGUCAUUUAGCAGUGCGGGACGCUCCUGCCCCACAAACGGCGACCAGAAGAGCUUCUCCGUCGCAUACCCCUCCUGGGCCCGAAAGAAUUGGGCGACGUCCGCAGCACUCUCCGGCAGAUCCACAUAUGCAUCUGGAGACUCCACAGUCGAUUAAGCAAGGAAUACCUCCGAUCCCCGAAUUUAGCCUGUAAAAGAAAGGGCUUACCAGUUGCUAUCUGUCUGGCUUGACAGAUUUCCUCGCGCACUGCUUGGGAUUCGGACCGCGCGUCCUUGGCGUCUUGAAGGGCCUUGGUGAGUUUGGUCCCUUUCGCCUUAUUUUCCUCUUAUAAGGACUCGCACUUGCGGGCGGUGUCCUUGAGCUCCUGGUCCACCUCGGUCACCCAUUCCUCAAAACGGCGCCGAGUGGCCUGUUCGGCCGUUAAGUCCGCAGCCGCUUUAUCAGCGGCCGCCUUGCUUACCCUCGCUUGCUCCUUGGCUUGGGCAAGCUCACCCCUGAGGGUUUCAACCGCGACAGCACCAUCUGUACAAACACGCACAUUGCAGCUCUUGAACUUCCACAGAACACGGACAUAAACAGGCAUAAAGUAAGAUGUAUCUUAUACCUUGCGCCUGGUCGAGCCGCGUGUUAACAAGGACUAGCUAGGUCCUCAUCGGCUCGCUCCAGUUUCCGUUUGAGUUCAGAAACUUCCACUACCUGAGCAGUCGCCGCUAACAGAGAAGCCUGUUUUAAUCCAAGUAAAAUAGUAUGUUACCACCUGACAACUGAUUAUUGAUCCUCUGCUCGCUUUUCUUUCAAAGAACCGAACAGAGUCUCAGGGGCUACUAUCUAUAUACAGGCAUAUUUCUCAUAAAAAUGAUCACAAACAUUACAUUGCGUACCUCGAAGCCUGCUAGCAGGCUGGAGAAGGCUCCGUCCAGCCCGCUCUUAGCAGACUGAAUCUUCUCAGCCACCGUACCCAUCAGGAUGCGGUGCUCAUCCAAGAUGGUUGCACUUUGCAGUGCGUCCGCCGUGGUAUUCGGUGCCUCCGGAUUAGCUGAGGUCGCCGCUCCCCCCUCUCCGGCAGGGGGUCGCUGACUAGACUUCGGAGCCGUGUGGGUCUCCGGAGUAGUAUGCGGCUGGGGGUCGAAUUGACCAGGGCCCCCGUCGCCGGUCUCCGUGGGGCCAUACCCCCAGUCCUUCGGCAGCCGAGGUAUUGCCCUCUGGCGCCGUUAAGUCGCCCCCCGCAUCUCUUCAAGGCCCGGGGAGGGCCUAUGGGACGACACCUCGGCGUCAUCCGCCCUAGGCGGCGGGGAAGCUAGUGGAGGCGACUCGCUCUCCAUCAUCUCCGGCGGCAGAUCCCCCGAGGAUGAGGAUAGCUGGGGGAGGUCGCGGACUGGACUAAAAAAUUGAACUUAGAGUUAUCAUCACAGUUCAUAGAAAUUGGAUGUAUGUGAAAAUUCUCGGAUUACUUACGAGUCGGCUUGGGGCUUGGUCCGGGACGGUGCUUCGGGAUGGCCUCGACGUCUAACUCCGAGUCAUCGGAGAGGGUAAUCUUGUCCCUCUUGGAUGCUUCAUCCUCCAGGUCUUCGGAGGCCGCCCUCUUCUUGCCCUUGCGGGGAGGAUCUUCUUCUUCUUCCUCCUCCUCGUCGCCGUCGUCGCCCUCGUGAGAGGACUGGGCAUCAGCUUCUCCAGACACUGCGUCCGAAGUGCCCUCCUCUUUCUUCUUCUUCUUCUUCUUCUUCUUCUUCUUCUUCUUCUUCUUCUUCUUGUCCUUCUUUACCGGCACCGGGACCAGCAUCCUCAUUAGUAGAGGAUUGGCUGGGUCUUCGGGGAGCGGAGCCGGACACCGGAUCUGCUCCGCCUUCUUGAUCCAGACCUGUUUGGGGACGAACUACUUAAUACUUCUCCUUUGGAUUGACGAACCAAUUGGUGUUCGAAGGUUUUAGAAUUUACCAAGGAGGCCGGAUGGUUGCAGUCGAGGCCAGUGUCGUCUGAUGACUUUGGCCACGACUUCUGCUUCUUAAAAAGCAGCUUCCAGAUCCCCUUAUGCGUUGUGCCGUAGAACCGUUGUAGGGUCCGCGGCCCUUCCGGGUUGAACUCCCACAUCUUGAGAGGCCGCCACUGGCAGGGAAGUGCUCGGCGGAUCAACAUCACUUGGAUCACGUCAGCAAGGGUGAUGUCCUUCGCUAUCAUGCCUUGGACGCGUUUCUGCAGCAGUAGCACCUCAUUGACCAACCCCCAGUCCAGACCCUUGUCGGUCCAGGAUGUGAGCCGCAGCGGGGGUCCGGAUCUGAAGGUUGGAGCGGCUGCCCACUUAGGGCCGCGGGGUUCUGUGAUAUAGAACCAUUCCUGUUGCCAUAUCUUGACGGUGUCCACAAAGACUCCCUUUGGCCAAUUGACUUUGGGGAGCUUGCUCACCAUGGCGCCACCGCUGUCCGGGUGUUGCCCAUCGACCACCUUUGGAUUCACGUUGAACAUCUUGAGCCAUAAGCCAAAGUGUGGAGGGAUGCGGAGGAAGGCCUCACACACGACGAUGAAUGCCAAGAUGUGGAGGAACGAAUUUGGGGCCAGAUCGUGAAAAUCCAGCCGGUAGUAGAACAUGAGACCCCUCACAAAGGGGUGGAGAGCGAAUCCGAGUCCGCGGAGGAAGUGGGGGAUGAACACCACCCUCUCGCCGGGCCCCGGAGUGGGGAUGACCUGCGCCGGAUCGGGAAGCCCGUGCUUGAUUUCCGCGGUUAGAUACCGCGCCUCCCGCGGCUCCUUGAUGUUAUCCUCCGUGACGGAGGAGGCCACCCACUUGCCUUGAGAGCCGGCCAUGGUCGGAAGGGUUGUGGAGGGGAGAAAAGAUUGGAACUUGGGUGCUUGAGCUCGGGGAUGGGGAGGCAGAGAGAGAAUGAGGUGUGGGACGGAAGAGUUGGAUUCUAUCCACCUAUAUGUACUGCAAAUAUCAAGCGUCCCCCUCCCUCGAGCCUUAAAACUCGCCUUGUCAGAUUACGGGUUCUGGCAAAACCCUUGAGGUUUGAACUCUGGGGUGCAUACGAAGAUCUCUCUCCCCCUAGCUCACACUCUCGCAACAAUCCCAAGGCCUAGCUCGCCGAACCCAAGGAACAGAAGACACGCAAGAGUUUAUACUGGUUCGGGCCACUGAUGUGGUGUAAUACCCUACUCCAGUGCGGUGUGGUGGAUUGCCUUGCAGGCUGGGCAUGAACAAGUACAAGGGAAGAAAAACCUCCCGAGGAGAGGUGUUCUUGAGCUCGAUGAGCUUGUGCAUGUGAGGAUGGAAUGGAUCCGAUCCAAGAUGAGUUGCCUCCUAUGGUGGUGGCUAUUCCUAUUUAUAGAGGCCCUGGUCCUCUUCCCAAAUGUUUAGGCGGGAAGGGAUCCCACAAUGGCCAAUUUGAAGGGGGACAGCUAGUACCAGCUAUCCUGACAAAAGGUGGUCUUCACCUGUCAAAGGCUCUGGUGGUGACGACGUCGUGGGCUCCGCGAUGACCCCCAUCCUGCCGUCCUGCUGGUCUUGGUCUUGUUGCACCGAUAUGGAAACCUUUGCCUGAUACCUCGCGACUCCUCGCCUGCACCUGCCCCUUUAGCACCAAAGAGGCAACCGGUACUCUACGCUCGCUGGCGCCCGCCUGGCCUUGGUCGUCAUGGCUCACGUCACGAAAACCUCGCGAGGUGCCCCUCGCCUUGAUCUCUCCGCUCCUCGCGAGCCAGCCUAGUGAGGCUGCCCUUGAGGAGGUCUUGUGUCGUCCGCCUCGCGAGGCUUGGCCCCUCGCGAGGGUCUUGAGUGUUUGCUGAUGAAGAAGGGCCGUACUAGGCCGUUAGUGGAGCCACGCCGUGGGUUGCAGCCAGGCAAGUCUGGGGACCCCCAUUCCCAGGACGCCGACACGCCUGUUCCCAAGGGGUCGUGCGAACAACACAGUUAGAUUACCAAGACUCAUAUUGAGAGAAUCCAGCAAUAAGGGGACACGGUCUCUGCUUUGACAAGACGUGUCAAUGGGAGUUGCGUAUUGAAACGCGAGGCGGGAGGCCCAAAAACGGUUCGAAAUGAUAGCAGAGCUAUGCGUGAUGUUUCGCCAGAAAAAGCUGUCGAUGGAUAUAUCUUAUUUUAAGUAUUAUGCCUUUAUGGUUGGAGGGUUGACCUGUUAUACAGAGCUGGAUAUAGAUCUCUUGUUCAGAAGACUAUUUUGGAGUAUUCGGAGGAGGAACCCACCUUGCGAUGCCGAAAACAACUUGUGUGCCGAACUCAUCGUCAUCGGAAGACUGGUUCAGGGGCUACUGAGGGAGUCCUGGAUUACGGGGUCCUCGGGUGUCCGGAGUACUCAAAAUGGGCCGGACUAAUGGGCCAUGAAGAUAUAAAGACAGAAGGCCCUCCCUCGUGUCCGGAUGAGACUCUCCUUUGCGUGGAUGGCAAGUUUGGCGUUCGGAUCUGUAGAUUCCUUUCUCUGUAAACCGACUCUGUACAACCCUAGGCCCCUCCGGUGUCUAUGUAAAUCGGAGGGAUUAGUCCGUAGAGCCAAUCAUAAUCAUACACGUUAGAGACUAGCACAUAUGCCCGUGCGUUGCAACGGGGGAUGAAAUAGUAUGCAUUUAAAAGUCAGUGAGAAUUAUAUGUGCAUGCAAAACCCUGUGUACACACGAAAAUGGAACAUUUAGCUUCUCGGUUUCGCCGUGUGUGAAUGAAUCAAUCCUCUAUUUUUCUAUUCAUUGAUCGAGGGCAUUUAAAAGUUUUGUUAUGUCAUUGUACAUUAGAGAAGGCCCAUUAGUUAUUCAAUCUACAUUCCCUUUCAAUCCUUUCAAUGGAGGGGAUCUUAAGGUAUGAAAUUUCUAAAUAUUCUUAGAAACAUGAGCAAUUUUUAAAAUCUUGAACAGUUUUUUGAAAAUUAUGUACACUUUUGGAAAACCGCUAACAAAAUAUGAAAGGAACUUCUUUUAAAAUUCAGAAAAAAAUUCUGAAAACACCAACUCUUCUUAUGAAAAUAUUAACAUUAUUUGAGUUUGUGAACAUUUUUUUAAACGGGAACAUGUGUUGUAAAUUCAUAAGAUUUUUAGAAAAUGUGUAUUUUUUAUACACGAACAUUAUUUUUAAUUAUAAAAAUUUCACUAAAACAAGAAUAUUUUCCAAUUUGGAGAAUUUUUUGAAUUGCCAUUUUUUUAGAAAUCCCGAACAAUUUAAGAAAACAAUAAUUGCUUUUUGAAAAAAUUGGAAACUUUUUGCAAGUUCCAAAUAUUUUUCAAAUAACAACGAAAUUUGAAAUUCUGAACAUUUUCCAAAAUUUGUUUUUUUAGUCUGAACUUUUUUGAUUUUUUUAAUUUACAAAAUAAAUUCUAAAACCAAAAUAAACUUGAAAGGAAAAAAAGAGAUAGGGAAAGGAGAAUAAAAAUGGAAGGAAAACACAGAAACAAAGAAAAAUGGGUCAGCCCAUUAUUCGUUGGCCUGUGCGAACCGAAUAACAAUCAUGAACAUUAUUUGAAUUUGUGAUAUUUUUAAACGAAACAUGUAUUGAAAAAUCAUAAGAUUUUUAGAAAAUGUGUAUCUUUUAUACACAAAUAUUAUUUUAAGUUGGGAAAAUUCAACUGAAACUAACAUAUUUUUCGAAUUUGGAGCAUUGUUUUGAAAUGCCAUUUUAUUUUUAAAAAUCUUGAACAAUUUUGACAAAUUUUAAUUUGUUUUCAAAAAAAAUUGGAAUUUUUUGCAUGUUCCGAAUAUUUAUAGAAACAAAAUUAUGGAAUUCUGAACAUUUUUUAAAUUUUGUUUUUUAAUCUAAGCGCUUUUAGUAUUUUUAUUUAAGAAAUACAUUAAAAAAACUUGGAACAAAAAAAAGAUAGGGAAAGGAUAAUAAAAAUAUUAGUAAAACACACAAAUUAAGAAAAAUGGGCCAGACCAUUAUUGGUUGUCUUGUGCGGAACUUCAACUAUUACAUGCCGAGUGCGAAAAAUUAAAAUUUUCCAACUGCGUGGGAAGAAUAAAUAUGUGGGCUGGCUUCGCUGGGCCAUAAUGCGCGACCGAGUACGAAAAUUCUUUUUCUAACACACAAACGCAUAAGAAUUUAGUACCACCACGAAUAGAAAAAACAUUGGCGGUGAACGGAUGACAAAAUUGACGAAACGCGCCUUGCUUUAUUAGUAGGUAUAUAUCUAGGGUUUAGCCAUUAUGAUCUCGAGGUAGAUCAACUCUUGUAAUCCCUAUAUUCAUCAAAGUCAAUCAAGCAGGAAGUAGGGUAUUACCUCCAUUAAGAGGGCCCGAACCUGGGUAAAACAUCGUAUCCCUGUCUCCUGUUACCUUCGAUCCUCAGACGCACAGUUCGGGACCCCCUACCCGAGAUCUACCGGUUUUGACACUGACAACAGGCAAAUAGGUGUGCACAACAGAUGUUUGGUUAAACAACAGAUUGUAAGUGAAGUCAUGAAUCUUCCCUUUAAGGAUCUUAUGAUCUUUUAAUGUGUCAAAAUAUAAAUACUGCGUGGGUAGGAUAGGAUCAAAGGGUAAAGUUGAAACACCCAGCCCUGGUGCUAAACGUGUGGCAUACAUUCCACCAUCGAAAUAUCCACUGUCAGCGUUGUGCUGAAGUCUGCGUGCAACAAUUGCUCCAAGGUUAUAAUUCCUUUCACCGGUGAGAGCGGUGCGUAUGAGGCUCAAGUCAGGACCACAAAGUGUACUACAAUCUUGCUUGCCUACUAUGCAUUUCUUAUUAAAUAAUGCAAAGUACUGAAUUGUGGAAAAAUGAAUGCUCUUUAUUCUACCUUGUGUCACUGCCCUCGUCUCACCGCAGCAAAGACUAGUUAAGAAUGAUUUGUACUCAGCCCGUGGCGGUUCGUCAAGCGAACCCCGGAACGGAAGUUUGCAGUGGUAAGCAAAAUUCUCUAGUGAGAUGGUAAAUGAAUUAUCAUAAAGCAUAAACGACACCCUAGACUCACGGGGAUGAAAUUUAAAUCCUUUGACAAACGAUUCAGUGAGAAUGUGGCGUCGUUCAAACUUAUCUGAAAUGUAGGGACCGAGACCGGCAUUGUGAACAUAUUGCUCAAAUUCCUCCUUAAUGCCCACACGCACCAUAUAAUCAUCGCAAGGCCAUGAGCAUGUUUUGGUGGCUGCAUCUCAUGUGGAACUUUCACUUGGUUCAACAUAAGACCGGCGAGCGGAACUGUCACUAGAAGAUGCCCCCGAGGAUCCCCUCCUCGAAGAACUCCUUCAAAAUAGGUUCAUCAUGUUCGCGUACAAUUUUCUGAAAAAAUUUGGGUGACCAAAAUUUGUCAACAAAACUUUAUUAAACUGGUAGCAACUACUCAUAGGGAUAAAUAGAGGCCAUAGCAAGCAUUCAAACUACUUAGAACUCUAAUAAUUCAACAUGCAAGCUCAUCUACAACAUCACCAAGAGUAGCUAAUUAUUCAAAAUAUAAACCACUAAAACAAAAACUAAUUAGACAAACGGUGGAGUCACAUACCAAGCAACAAUCCCCCGAAAUAGUUUCGGAAACAGAGCUUCGAGCAAAGAGAUCGAAAUCCGUGGGUUUGAGAGCAACAACACGGGAGAGAGAGCAAUGGAGAUUUUUUUCUGGAGGUAAGUGAUGAUUGAAGGAAAUAUGCCCUAGAGGCAAUAAUAAAGUUAUUAUUUAUUUCCUUAUUUCAUGAUAAAUUUUUAUUAUUCAUGCUAGAAUUGUAUUAACUGGAAACAUAAUACAUGUGUGAAUACAUAGACAAACAAAGUGUCACUAGUAUGCCUCUACUUGACUAGCUCGUUGAUCAAAGAUGGUUAUGUUUCCUAACCAUAGACAUGAGUUGUCAUUUGAUAAACGGGAUCACAUCAUUAGAGAAUGAUGUGACUUGACCCAUUCCGUUAGCUUAGCACUUGAUCGUUUAGUAUGUUGCUAUUUCUUUCUUCAUGACUUAUACAUGUUCCUAUGACUAUGAGAUUAUGCAACUCCCGAAUACCGGAGGAACACUUUGUGUGCUAUCAAACGUCACAACAUAACUGGGUGAUUAUAAAGGCGCUCUACAGGUGUCUCCAAAGGUACUUGUUGAGUUGGCAUAGAUCGAGAUUAGGAUUUGUCACUCCUAUUGUCGGAGAGGUAUCUCUGGGCCCUCUCGGUAAUGCACAUCACUAUAAGCCUUGCAAGCAUUGUAACUAAUGAGUUAGUUGCGGGAUGAUGUAUUACGGAAUGAGUAAAGAGUCUUGCCGGUAACGAGAUUGAACUAGGUAUUGAGAUACCGACGAUCGAAUCUCGGGCAAGUAACAUACCGAUGACAAAGGGAACAAUGUAUAUUGUUAUGCGGUUUGACCGAUAAAGAUCUUCGUAGAAUAUGUGGGAGCCAAUAUGAGCAUCCAGGUUCCGCUAUUGGUUAUUGACCGAAGACGUGUCUCGGUCAUGUCUACAUAGUUCUCGAACCCGUAGGGUCCGCACGCUUAAAGUUCGGUGACAAUCGGUAUUAUGAGUUUUUGUGUUUUGAUGUACCGAAGGUAGUUCGGAGUCCCGGAUAUGAUCACGGACAGGACGAGGAGUCUCAAAAUGGUCGAGACGUAAAGAUCUAUAUAUUGGACGACUAUGUUCGGACACCGGAAAUGUUUCGGGAGGUUUCGGACAUAUACCGGAGUACCGGGGGGUUACCGGAACCCCUCGAGGAGUUUAUUGGGCCUAUUGGGCCUUAGUGGGAGAAGAGGAGGGGCAGCCAGGGCAGCCGCGCGCCCCUCCCCCUCUAGUCCAAAUUGGACAAGGAGGGGGGGCGGCGCCCCCCUUUCCUUCUCUUCCUCUGCCCUUCCCUCUCCUCUCCUACUCCUACUUGGAAGGGGGGAGUCCUACUCCCGGUGGGAGUAGGACUCCUCAUGGGGCACGCCAUAGGGGGCCGGCCCCCUCCCCCUCCUCCACUCCUUUAUAUACGGGGAGGGAGGCACCCCUUGGAGAGACAACAAUUGAUCAUUGAUCUCUUAGCCGUGUGCGGUGCCCCCUCCAUCAUAAUCCACCUCGGUAAUAUCAUAGCGGUGCUUAGGCGAAGCCCUGCGUCGGUAGCAACAUCAUCACCGUCAUCACGCCGUCGUGCUGCCGGAACUCUCCCUCGAAGCUCUGCUGGAUCGGAGUUCGUGGGACGUCAUCAAAUUGAAAGUGUGCUGAACUCGGAGGUGCCGUGCGUUCGGUACUUGGAUCGGUCAGAUCAUGAAGACGUACGACUACAUCAACCGCGUUUUUCUAAUGCUUCUGCUUUCGGUCUACGAGGGCACGUGGACAACACUCUCCCCUCUCGUUGCUAUGCAUCACCAUGAUCUUGCAUGUGCGUAGGAAUUUUUUUGAAAUUACUACGUUCCCCAAAAGUGGUAUCAGAGCCAGGUCUAUGCGUAAAUGUUAUAUGCAUGAGUAGAACACAAGUGAGUUGUGGGCGAUACAAGUCAUACUGCUUACCAGCAUGUCACACUUUGGUUCGGUGAUAUUGUUGGAUGAAGCGGCCUGGACCGACAUUAUGCGUACGCUUACGCGAGACUGGUUCUACCGAUGUGCUUUGCACACAGGUGGCUGGCGGGUGUCAGUUUCUCCAACUUUAGUUGAACUGAGUGUGGCUACGCCCGGUCCUUGUGAAGGUUCAAACAACACUAACUUGACAAACUAUCGUUGUGGUUUUGAUGCGUAGGUAAGAACGGUUCUUGCUCAGCCCGUAGCAGCCACGUAAAACUUGCAACAACAAAGUAGAGGACUUCUAACUUGUUUUUGCAGGGCAUGUUGUGAUGUGAUAUGGUCAACACAUGAUGCUAAAUUUUAUUGUAUGAGAUGAUCAUGUUUUGUAACAAAGUUAUCGGCAAUUGGCAGGAGCCAUAUGGUUGUCGCUUUAUUGUAUGCAAUGCAAUCGCCCUGUAAUUACUUUACUUUAUCACUAAGCGGUAGCAAUAGUAGUAGAAGCAAUAGUUGGCGAGACGACAACGAUGCUACGAUGAAGAUCAAGGUGUCGCGCCGGUGACGAUGGUGAUCAUGACGGUGCUUUGGAGAUGGAGAUCACAGGCACAAGAUGAUGAUGGCCAUAUCAUAUCACUUAUAUUGAUUGCAUGUGAUGUUUAUCCUUUAUGCAUCUUAUUUUGCUUAGAUCGACGGUAGCAUUAUAAGAUGAUCUCUCACUAAAUUUCAAGGUACAAGUGUUCUCCCUGAGUAUGCACCAUUGCGAAAGUUCGUCGUGCCGAGACACCACGUGAUGAUCGGGUGUGAUAAGCUCUACGUUCACAUACAACGGGUGCAAGCCAGUUUUGCACAUGCAGAAUACUCGGGUUAAACUUGACGAGCAUAGCAUAUGCAGAUAUGGCCUCGGAACACUAAGACCGAAAGGUCGAGCGUGAAUCAUAUAGUAGAUAUGAUCAACAUAGUGAUGUUCACUAUCGAAAACUACUCCAUCUCACGUGAUGAUCGGACAUGGUUUAGUUGAUAUGGAUCACGUGAUCACUUAGAUGAUUAGAGGGAUGUCUAUCUAAGUGGGAGUUCUUUAAUAAUUUGAUUAACUGAACUAUAAUUUAUCAUGAACUUAGUACUUGCUAGUAUUUUGCAUGUCUAUGUUGUUGUACAUAGAUGGCCUGUGCUGUUGUUCCAUUGAAUUUUAAUGCGUUCCUUGAGAAACCAAAGUUGAAAGAUGAUGGUAGCAAUUACACGGACUGGGUCCGUAACUUGAGGAUUAUCCUCAUUGCUGCACAGAAGAAUUACGUCCUGGAAGCACCGCUAGGUGCCAAACCUGCUGCAGGAGCUGAACCAGAUGUUAUGAACGUCUGGCAAAGCAAAGCUGAUGACUACUCGAUAGUUCAGUGUGCCAUGCUUUACGGCCUAGAACCGGGACUUUAACGACGUUUAGAACGUCGUGGAGCAUAUGAGAUGUUCUAGGAGUUGAAGUUAAUAUUUUAAGCAAAUGCCCGGAUUGAGAGAUAUGAAGUCUCCAAUAAGUUCUACAACUGUAAGAUGGAGGAGAAUAGUUCUGUCAGUGAGCAUAUACUCAGAAUGUCUGGGUAUAACAAUCACUUGAUUCAACUGGGAGUUAAUCUUCCGGAUGAUAGCGUCAUUGACAGAAUUCUUCAAUCACUACCACCAAGCUACAAGAGCUUCGUGAUGAACUAUAACAUGCAAGGGAUGGAUAAGACGAUUCCCGAGCUCUUCGCAAUGCUAAAUGCUGCGGAGGUAGAAAUCAAGAAGGAGCAUCAAGUGUUGAUGGUCAACAAGACCACCAGUUUCAAGAAAAAGGGUAAAGGGAAGAAGAAGGGGAACUUCAAGAAGAACAACAAGCAAGUUGCUGCUCAAGAGAAGAAACCCAAGUUUGGACCUAAACCUGAGACUGAGUGCUUCUACUACAAACAGACUGGUCACUGGAAGCGGAACUGCCCCAAGUAUUUGGCGGAUAAGAAGGAUGGCAAGGUGAACAAAGGUAUAUGUGAUAUACAUGUUAUUGAUGUGUACCUUACUAAUUCUCACAGUAGUGCCUGGGUAUUUGAUACUGGUUCUGUUGCUAAUAUUUGCAACUCGAAACAGGGACUACGGAUUAAGCAAAAAUUGGCUAAGGACGAGAUGACGAUGCGCAUGGGAAAUGGUUCGAAAGUCGAUGUGAUCGCAGUCGGCACGUUACCUCUACAUCUACCUCCGGGAUUAGUUUUAGACCUAAAUAAUUGUUAUUUGGUGCCAGCGUUGAGCAUGAACAUUAUAUCUGGAUCUUGUUUGAUGCGAGACGGUUAUUCAUUUAAAUCAGAGAAUAAUGGUUGUUCUAUUUAUAUGAGUAAUAUCUUUUAUGGUCAUGCACCCUUAAAGAGUGGUCUAUUCUUUUUGAAUCUCGAUAGUGAUACACAUAUUCAUAGUAUUGAAGCCAAAAGAUGCAGAGUUGAUAAUGAUAGUGCAACUUAUUUGUGGCACUGCCGUUUAGGUCAUAUUGGUGUAAAGUGCAUGAAGAAACUACAUUCCGAUGGACUUUUGGAAUCACUUGAUUAUGAAUCACUUGGUACUUGCGAACCAUGCCUCAUGGGCAAGAUGACUAAAACACCGUUCUCCGGAACUAUUGAGUGAGCAACAGAUUUGUUGGAGAUCAUACAUACUGAUGUAUGUGGUCCAAUGAAUGUUGAGGCUCGCGGCGGGUAUCGUUAUUUUCUCACUUUCAUAGAUGAUUUGAGCAGAUAUGGGUAUAUCUACUCGAUGAAACAUAAGUCUGAAACUUUUGAAAAGUUCAAUGAAUUUCAGAGUGAAGUUGAAAAUCAUCGUAACAAGAAAAUAAAGUUUCUACGAUCUGAUCGUGGAGGAGAAUAUUUGAGUUACGAGAUUGGUCUUCAUUUGAAACAAUGCGGAAUAGUUUCACAACUCACGCCACCCGGAACACCACAACGUAAUGGUGUGUCCGAACGUCAUAAUCGUACUUUACUAGAUAUGGUGCGAUCUAUGAUGUCUCUUACUGAUUUACCGCUAUCGUUUUGGGGAUAUGGUUUGGAGACAUUUGCAUUCACGUUAAAAUAGGGCACCAUCUAAAUCCGUUGAGACGACUCCUUAUGAACUGUGGUUUGGCAAGAAACCAAAGUUGUCGUUUCUUAAAGUUUGGGGCUGCGAUGCUUAUGUGAAAAAGCUUCAACCUGAUAAGCUCGAACCCAAAUCGGAGAAAUGUGUCUUCAUAGGAUACCCAAAAGAGACUGUUGGGUACACCUUCUAUCGCAGAUCCGAAGGCAAGACAUUCGUUGCUAAGAAUGGAUCCUUUCUAGAGAAGGAGUUUCUCUUGAAAGAAGUGAGUGGGAGGAAAGUAGAACUUGAUGAGGUAACUGUACAUGCUCCCUUAUUGGAAAGUAGUUCAUCACAGAAACCGGUUCCUGUGACACCUACACCAAUUAGUGAGGAAGCUAAUGAUGAUAAUCAUGAAACUUCAGAUCAAGUUACUACCGAACCUCAUAGGUCAACUAGAGUAAGAUCCGCACCAGAGUGGUACGGUAAUCCUGUUCUGGAGGUCAUGUUACUAGACCAUGAUGAACCUAUGAACUAUGAGGAAGCGAUGAUGAGCCCAGAUUCCGCAAAAUGGCUUGAGGCCAUGAAAUCUGAGAUGGGAUCCAUGUAUGAGAACAAAGUAUGGACUUUGGUUCACUUGCCCGAUGAUCGGAAAGCCAUUGAGAAUAAAUUAAUCUUCAAGAAGAAGACAGAUGUUGAAGGUAAUAUUACUGUCUACAAAGCUCGACUUGUUGCGAAAGGUUUUCGACAAGUUCAAGGAGUUGACUAUGAUGAGACCUUCUCACCCGUAGCGAUGCUUAAGUCCGUCCGAAUCAUGUUAGCAAUUGUCGCAUUUUAUGAUUAUGAAAUUUGGCAAAUGGAUGUGAAUACUGCAUUCCUGAAUGGAUUUCUGGAAGAAGAGUUGUAUAUGAUGCAACCUGAAGGUUUUAUCGAUCCAAAGGGUGCUAACAAAGUGUGCAAGAUCCAGCGAUCCAUUUAUGGACUGGUGCAAGCCUCUCGGAGUUGGAAUAAACACUUUGAUAGUGUGAUCAAAGCAUAUGGUUUUAUACAGACUUUUGGAGAAGCCUGUAUUUACAAGAAAGUGAGUGGGAGCUCUGUAGCAUUUCUAAUACUAUAUGUGGAUGACAUACGGUUGAUUGGAAAUGACGUAGAAUUUCUGGAUAGCAUGAAAGGAUACUUGAAUAAGAGUUUUACAAUGAAAGACCUUGGUGAAGCUGCUUACAUAUUGGGCAUCAAGAUCUAUAGAGAUAGAUCAAGAUGCUUAAUUGGACUUUCACAAAGCACAUACCUUGACAAAGUUUUGAAGAAGUUCAAAAUGGAUCAGGCAAAGAAAGGGUUCUUAUCUGUGUUACAAGGUGUGAAGUUGAGUAAGACUCAACGCCCGACCACUGCAGAAGAUAGAGAGAAAAUGAACGAUGUUCCCUAUGCUUCAGCCAUAGGCUCUAUCAUGUAUGCAAUGUUGUGUACCAGACCUGAUGUGUGCCUUGCUAUAAGUCUAGCAGGGAGGUACCAAAGUAAUCCAGGAGUGGAUCAGUGGACAGCAGUCAAGAACAUCCUGAAAUACCUGAAAAGGACUAAGGAUAUGUUUCUCGUUUAUGGAGGUGACAAAGAGCUCGUCGUAAAUGGUUACGUCGAUGCAAGCUUUGACACUGAUCCGGACGAUUCUAAAUCACAAACCGGAUACGUGUUUAUAUUGAACGGUGGAGCUGUCAGUUGGAGCAGUUCUAAACAAAGCGUCGUGGCAGGAUCUACAUGUGAAGUGGAGUACAUAGCUGCUCCGGAAGCAGCAAAUGAAGGAGUCUAGAUGAAGGAGUUCAUAUCCGAUCUAGGUGUCAUACCUAGUGCAUCGGGUCCAAUGAAAAUCUUUUGUGACAAUACUGGUGCAAUUGCCAUGGCAAAGGAAUCCAUAUUUCACAAGAGAACCAAGCACAUCAAGAGACGCUUCAAUUCCAUCCGCGAUCAAGUCUAGGGUGGGGACAUAAAGAUUUGCAAGAUACAUACGGAUCUGAAUGUUGCAGACCCGUUGACUAAGCCUCUCUCACGAGCAAAACAUGAUCAUCACCAAGGCUCCAUGGGUGUAAGAAUCAUUACUGUGUAAUCUAGAUUAUUGACUCUAGUGCAAGUGGGAGACUGAAGGAAAUAUGCCCUAGAGGCAAUAAUAAAGUUCUUAUUUAUUUCCUUAUUUCAUGAUAAAUGUUUAUUAUUCAUGCUAGAAUUGUAUUAACCGGAAACAUAAUACAUGUGUGAAUACAUAGACAAACAAAGUGUCACUAGUAUGCCUCUACUUGACUAGCUCGUUGAUCAAAGAUGGUUAUGUUUCCUAACCAUAGAGAUGAGUUGUCAUUUGAUAAACGAGAUCACAUCAUUAGAGAAUGAUGUGAUUGACUUGACCCAUUCCGUUAGCUUAGCACUUGAUCAUUUAGUAUGUUGCUAUUGCUUUCUUCAUGACUUAUACAUGUUCCUAUGACUAUGAGAUUAUGCAACUCCCGUUUACCGGAGGAACACUUUGUGUGCUACCAAAGGUCACAACAUAACUGGGUGAUUAUAAAGGUGCUCUACAGGUGUCUCCGAAGGUACUUGUUGGGUUGGCGUAUUUCGAGAUUAGGAUUUGUCACUCCAAUUGUCGGAGAGGUAUCUCUGGGCCCUCUCGGUAAUGCACAUCACUUUAGCCUUGCAAGCAUUGCAACUAAUGAGUUAGUUGUGGGAUGAUGUAUUACGGAACGAGUAAAGAGACUUGCCGGUAACGAGAUUGAACUAGGUACUGAGAUACCGACGAUCGAAUCUCGGGCAAGUAACAUACCGAUGACAAAGGGAACAACGUAUGUUGUUAUGCGGUCUGACCGAUAAAGAUCUUCGUAGAAUAUGUGGGAGCCAAUAUGAGCAUCCAGGUUCCGCUAUUGGUUAUUGACCGGAGACGUGUCUCGGUCAUGUCUACAUAGUUCUCGAACCCGUAGGGUCCGCAUGCUUAAAGUUCGGUGACGAUCGGUAUUAUGAGUUUUUGUGUUUUGAUGUACCGAAGGUAGUUCGGAAUCCCAGAUAUGAUCACGGACAUGACGAGGAGUCUCGAAAUGGUUGAGACGUAAAGAUCGAUAUAUUGGACGACUAUGUUCGGACACCGGAAAUGUUUCGGACAUAUACCGGAGUACCGGGGGGUUACCGGAACCCCCCGAGGAGUUUAUUGGGCCUAUUGGGCCUUAGAGGGAGAAGAGGAGGGGCAGCCAGGGCAGCCGUGCGCCCCCUCCCCCUCUAAUCCGAAUUGGACAAGGAGGGGGGCCGGCGCCCCCCUUUCCUUCUCUUCCUCUCUCCCUUCCCUCUCCUCUCCUACUCCUACUUGGAAGGGGGGUGUCCUACUCCCGGUGGGAGUAGGACUCCUCAUGGGGCGCGCCAUAGGGGGCCGGCCCCCUCCCCCUCCUCCACUCCUUUAUAUACGGGGAGGGAGGCACCCCUUGGAGAGACAAAAAUUGAUCAUUGAUCUCUUAGCCGUGUGCGGUGCCCCCCUCCACCAUAACCCACCUCGGUAAUAUCGUAGCGGUGCUCAGGCGAAGCCCUGCGUCGGUAGCAACAUCAUCACCAUCAUCACGCCGUCGUGCUGACGGAACUCUCCCUCGAAGCUCUGCUGGAUCGGAGUUCGUGGGACGUCAUCGAAUUGAACGUGUGCUGAACUUGGAGGUGCCGUGAGUUCGGUACUUCGAUCGGUCGGAUCGUGAAGACGUACGACUACAUCAACCGCGUUGUUCUAAUGCUUCCGUUUUCGGUCUAUGAGGGUACGUGGACAACACUGUCCCCUCUCGUUGCUAUGCAUCACCAUGAUCUUGCGUAUGCGUAGGAAUUUUUUUGAAAUUACUACGUUCCCCAACAAUGAUGUGGUAUGAAGAGAUAAGUGAGGGGGCCCACGUGGGGACCACAACCCACCAGGGCGUGCCUGGGGGUCCUGGCGCGCCCAGGUAGGUUGUGCCCACCUGGUGCACCUCCCUCUGAUAUUAUUUACACCAGGAAUUCAGAAAUAUUCAGAAAAAAAAAUCGUAUUAAAUUUUUAGAGCAUUAUGAGAACUUUUAUUUUUGGGUCAUUUUUUAUUGCACGGGAAAUUGAGAAAACAGACAAACCAUGGCAUUUUAUUUUAUUUAACUAAUAACAAUAGAGAAUAAAAAGUAAGGACACAAGGUAGUGCUUACUAAAUACAUCAACUUCAUACCGCUCAAAAAUGAUUCAUUAAUAAGGUUGAUCAGGUCUUUUUAACAACCACUUUCGAUUAGCAUGAAACCGAAGAACUUUCGUAAAUCACUAAAUUACCUCAAUGAGGAUAUGAAUGUCCCCAACAAUAAGCAUUUCAUAUUUCUUUUUGACAGUAGGUGAAGGUAUUUGAAAACUUUCAAUAGUGAUUGUCGGAGAUUUUUCAAUAACAUUAAUACCAUUCACUUGGAAUUGUUUCUUCGGAAAGUGCACCGUAAGCUCAUUACCAUUGAUAUGAAAAGUGACCUUGCUUUUAUUGCAAUCAAUAACAGCCCUUGCAGUAUUCAAGAAAGGUCUACCAAGGAUAAUCGACAUGUUGUCGCCCUCGGGCAUCUCAAGUAUAACAAAGUCAGUCAAAAUAGUAACAUUAGCAACAACAGCGGGCACAUCCUCACAGAUACCGAUAGGUAUGGCAGUUGAUUUGUCAGCCAUUUGCAAAGAUAUUUCAGUAGGUGUGAGUUUAUUCAAAUCAAGUCUUUUAUAUAAAGAGAAGGACAUAACACUAACACCAGCUCCUAAAUCACACAAAGCAGUUUUCACAUAAUUCUUUUUGAUGGAGCAAGGUAGAGUUGGUAUUCCCGGAUCUCCAAGUUUUUUAGGUACUCCAUAUUUAAAAGUUUAAUUAGCAAGCAUAGUGGAGAUUUCAACUUCUGAUAUUUUUCUCUUAUUAGUGAUGAUACCUUUCAUAUACUUUGCAUAAGGAGGCAUUUUCAAGAUAUCAGUCAAGCGAGUACGCAAAAAGACUGGCCUCAGCAUUUCAGCAAAGCGUUCAAAUUCUUCAUCAUCAUUCUUUUUAGUUGGCUUGGGUGGAAAUGGCAUAGGUUUUUGAAUCCACGGUUCUCUUUCUUUACCGUGUUUUCUAGCCACAAAGUCUCUUUUAUCAUAUCUUUUAUUCUUAGGUUGUGGGUUAUCAAGAUCAACAGGUGGUUCUAUCUCAACAUCAUUAUCUGGUUCUUAUUAUUUGUUUGAGUGUCUUCAUGAACCUCAUCAUUUUCUUUUUCAUUAUCCUAAGGUGAGUGUUCAUUACCAGAUUGAGUUUCAGCAUCAGAAAUAGAAGUUUCAUUAUCAUUAUCAGGAGGUUUUUCUAUUUCAAGUUCACUAGAAGCAUGCAAAGUCCUACCAUUUUUCUUCUUCUUUUUCUUUCUAGAAGGACUAGGUGUGUCAGUGUUAACCCUUUGUGAAUCUUGUUCAAUUCUUUUUGGGUGUCCCUCAGGAUAAAGUGGUUCCUGAGUCAUUUUACCUCCUCUAGUUGCAACUCUAACAGCAAAGUCAUGUAUAUUAUUAUUCAUUUCAUCAAGUAAUUCUCUUUGUGAUUUAGCAACUUGUUCUAACUGAGUUUGAACCAUAGAAGCAUGUUUUCCAACACCUCUAACAUCAUUUGAAAUUCUAAAUAACAAGUCACUCAAGCGAGCAAUCAUAUCAUAAUUGUAUUUCAAUUGUUUCAUAACAUUUUCAUUGAAGUGAUCUUGUUUUCUAAUGUAGUUUUCAAACUCAUAAAGGCAUUGGCUAGGAUCCAUAUUGUGGGGAAUGUCAUUAUCAUUGAACUUCAUUAAAGAAUUUACCUCUACCACCUUAGAUGGUGGUGGUGUAUUAAGCCCAUGUAUUUCUUCAAUAGGAGGUAAAUUUUAACAUCCUCAACUUUAAUACCUUUUUCCUUCAUAGAUUUCUUUGCCUCUUGCAUAUCUUCACGACUGAGAUAUAAUAUACCCCUCUUCUUCGGAGUGGGUUUAGGCGGUGGUUCAGGAAGAGUCCAAUCAUCAUCAUUUUUCAACAUGUUAUUCAAUAAUUCUUCAGCUUGCCCAAUAGUUCGUUCCCUGUAAACACAACCAGCACAACUAUCUAGGAAGUCCCUAUAAGCAUCAGUUAGUCCAUUAUAGAAGAUAUCAAGUAUUUCAUUUUUCUUAAGAGGAUGAUCAGGCAAAGUAUUAAGUAAUUGGAAAAGCCUCCCCCAAGCUUGUGGGAGACUCUCUUCUUUAGUUUGCACAAAGUUAAAUAUUUCCUGUAAGGCAGCUUGUUUCUUAUGAGCAGGGAAAUAUUUUUCAGAGAAGUAAUAAAUCAUAACCUGGGGACUACGCACACAACCAGGAGCAAGAGUAUUGUACCAAGAUUUAGCAUCACCCUUUAAUGAGAACGGAAACAAUCUGAAAAUAAUGUAAUAGCGAGUCUUCUCAUCAUGAGUAAAAACGUUGGCUAUAUCAUUCAACUUAGUAAGAUGUGCCACAAUAGUUUUAGUUUCAUAACCAUGGAAAGGAUCGGAUUCAACCAAAGUAAUCAACUCUGGGUCGACAGAGAAUGCAUAAUCCUUAUCAUCAAUAAAGAUAGGUGAAGUAGCAAACUUAGGAUCAUAUUUCAUUCUAGCAUUCAGAUAUUUUUCUUUAUACUUGCAUAAUAAUUUCUCUAGAUCACCCCUAUCCUUACAAGCAAGAAUAUCUCUAGUUGUCUCCUCAUUCAUAACAUAGCCUUCCAGUACCUUAGGCAAUUCAUAUCUAGGAAGGCUAGUUCUAGCAGGUGUUUCAGGAGUUUCAGUUUCAAGCUCAUCAUCAGAUUCAACAGCAUAUGUUGUAUUACUCUAGCAAUUUGUUCAUCAAGAAAUUCACCAAGUGGCACAUCAUCAUUAUCAAGCAAGGUACUAGCAUCAUCAUAAGCAUUAUCCAUCGCAGAAGUAGCAUCAUCAAUAACUUGUGACAUAUCAGGAUUAAUAUCAUGUGGUGGUGUUGCAAGUUUGCUUAGAACAGAAGGUGAAUCUAAAGCACAACUAGAUGGCAGUUCCUUACCUCCCCUCGUCUUCGAGGGAAAUAUCUUAGUCUUAGCAUCCUUCAAAUUCUUCAUAGUGAUAAAUUGAUAAUAACCCCAAGUGACUCAACAAAUAUAGCUAUGCUCCCCGGCAACGGCGCCAGAAAAAGGUCUUGAUAACCCAAAAGUAUAAAGGAUCGCAACAGUUUUCGAGGGUAGAGUAUUCAACCCAAAUUUAUAGAUUCGACACAAGUGGAGCCAAAGAAUAUUUGAAGGUAUUAGCAGCUGAGUUGUCAAUUCAACCACACUUGGAGAUUAAUUAUCUGCAGCAAGUAAUCAGUAGCAAAGUAAUAUGAUAAUUUUGAUAAUAGUAACAGUAGCAACGGUAACGGUAACAAUGAUAGCAGUAAUUUUGUAGCAAGUGUAACAGUGAUGAUAGCAAUAGUAACUUAGCAAGAACAAUAUAAGAUAAAUUUGUAGGCAUUGGAUCGGUGACUCGUUGGGUGAUAUUCAUCAUGAGACAGUUAUAACCUUGGGUGAUACGGCGCUAGCUUCAGUUCAUUAAUAUAAUGUAGGCAUGUAUUCCGUAAAUAGUCAUACGUGCUUAUGGAAAGAACUUGCAUGACAUCUUUUGUCCUACCCUCCCGUGGCAGUGGGGUCCAUAUUGGAAACUAAGGGAUAUUAAGGCCUCCUUUUAAUAGAGAACCGGAACAAAGCAUUAACACAUAGUGAAUAUAUGAACUCCUCAAACUACGGUCAUCACCGGGAUUGGUCCCGACUAUUGUCACUCUGGGGUUGCCAGAUCAUAACACGUAGUAGGUGACUAUAACUUGCAAGAUCACAUCUAAAUCAUGGAUAUAAUGAUGAUAACAUAAACGGUUCAGAUCUGAGUUCAUGGCACCCGGGCCCAAAGUGACAAGCAUUAAGCAUGGCAAAGUCAUAACAACAUCAAUCUUAGAACAUAGUGGAUACUAGGGAUCAAGCCCUAACAAAACUAACUCGAUUACAUGAUGAAUCGCAUCCAACUCCUCACCGACUAGAUGGCCUACGAAGGAAUUACUCACUCCCGGUGGGGAGCAUCAUGGAAUUGGUGAUGGAGAAGAGUUGGUGAUGACGAAGAACGAAGAUCCCCCCUCUCCAGAGCCCCAAACGCACUCCAGAUCUGGCCUCUCGAUGAAGAACAGGAGGUGACGGCGGCUUCGUCUCGUGGAUCGCGAUAAUUCUUUCUCCCUCAUUUUUUCUGGAAAAAUAGGAUUUUAUAGCGUCGGUUUCAGGGUCUGCGGGGCCACCAGGUGGGGACAACCCACCUGGGCGCGCCCUAGUGGGUUGUGCCCACCCAGGUGCCCCUCUUCGGUAGGUCUUGGCUCUAGAAAUUCUUAUUUAUUAUAUAAAAAAUUCCUCGCAAAGUUUCGUUCCAUUCCGAGAACUUUUAUUUCUGCACAAAAACAACACCAUGGUAGUUCAGCUGAAAACAGCGUCAGUCCGGGGUUAGUUUCAUUCAAAUCAUGCAAAUUAGAGGCCAAAACAAGAGGAAAAGUGUUAGGAAAAGUAGAUACGUUGGAGACGUAUCAGUAAGCAAGCUCCCCAACGCCGUCUGGCCCAAGGGGCGUUCGUGGAGACUGUUAAGGUGUGGCAGCAGGAGUGGUUCUACAUCACCAAACCUCGCGAUGCAAAAACACAUCACCAAAAUGAUAGGCAAAAACACCGGACUCACAAAUGUGAUUCAGGUGAUGGUCUUCCGCCGGACUCUCCCUUGCCAGCCCCGGGUGACGGAGUCCUGGAUUAGGGUGUCCGGGCUGUGUGAUAUGGGCCGGACUGAUGGGCUGUGAAGAUACAAGGCAGAAGACCUUCCCCCGUGUCCGAGUAGGACUCUCUUAUGCGUGGAUGGCAAGAUUGGUGUCCGGAUAUGUAAUUUCCUUCCUCUGUAAACCGACUCUGUACAACCCUAGGCCCCUCUGGUGUGUAUAUAAACCAGAGGGUUUAGUCCAUAGAGGCUAUCAGAAUUUACAUAGGCUACACAACUAGGGUUUAGCCAUUAUGAUCUCGAGGUAGAUCAACUCUUGUAAUCCCUAUACUCAUCAAAUUCAGUUAAGUAGGAAGUAGGGUUUUACCUCCAUUAAGAGGGCCCGAACUUGGGCAAACAUCGUGUCCCCUUUGUCUCUUGUUACCUUCGAUCAUCAGACGCACAGUUCGGGACCCCCUACCCGAGAUCAGCUAGUUUUGACACCGACAUUGGUGCUUUCAUUGAGAGUUCCACUGUGUCGUCGGUAAAAGGUUUGAUGGCUCGUUCGAUCAUCAACAAUGAUGCUGUUUCCGGGGAAACGUUCCUCCCUGGUCAACUUUUUGUGUUUGGCGGCCUCGCUCUGCGUGCCAACUCAACUGGACUCCUUGAACAGAUCGACAGCUAUGCCCCUGGUCAUCAGAUCAGGUUCGGAAGCCUGAAUUACGUCGUUGAUAUCCGAGGAGACUUGAUCUUCGAAGGGUUCUCGGCUUCGACUGCUCCUCACCCACAAGGAGGAAACCUGUCGGAUCCACCAUCAGGCUCUGUUCAAGAAUUAACUACCAUCCCUGCCCUGGCCUUAGAUCCAGAGCAGACCACCUCAUCCAAAGAUGGGAGCUUGAAACCCACCGGAACCCCUCCUACUACGGAGCUCCUUGCCGGAGACCCAGAGGCAGCCAUGUUAUCGACGGACCUGAAAUCAAACAGGACUCUUCCUGUCGUCGGAAAGCCAGACCCACCUUUGGAUGCUAACUCCGAGCUCUCAAGGUCUGUGUCCAUUGAGCACAGUCAAGUGGCAUUUACCAUGCCCAGCUCCGCAGGUCCUCGGUUUCCCGUCCAGCCCUCACUCUUAAACGAGGCUCUUGACUUAAUGCGAUCUCUCGCCAUUAUGGAAGUGUCACAUCUGAACUACGCCCAGCCCGAACUAGGGGCUGAGUGUGGGGAAUUUUGCGUCCCACCCACCACCCACUUGGUAGCCACUGUCGAGGACUUAACCGAGAUGCUCGACUACACGUCCGAAGACAUCGAUGAUAUGGAAGACGAUGUCGGAGCUGACCCAGGCCAAAAUCCGCCUAUCUCUAGGCGUUGGACGGCCACCUCUACAUACAACGUGUAUAUGGUAGAUACACCUAAAAAGGACGGCGACGACAGGCAGGACCCGAUGGAGGACAAGCCUGUCGAAGCACCACCAAAGCGCCGACGUCAGCGGCGCUGCUCAAAAUCACGUCGUGAAAAGGAAAGCAACACCGGCACCGGAGACAAUGACACUCUGGAUGACGCCGAACACCCCGAAGACCCCGUCGAACCUACAUCCGACCAGGAUGAACCUGUCGAACCUGUCGAGAAUGACGAUUCGGAGGAUAGUAACUAUCUAGCGGUCUCCGAGGAGGAUGUCAGCCUCGGCAACGACGAUUUCAUCAUGCCAAAGGAACCCCUCGAGCAAGAGCGCUUUAAGCGACAGGUAAUCGCCACAGCGAGGAGCCUAAAAAAGAAACAUCAACAGCUUCAACCUGAACAGGAUACGCUCAAUGACAGAUGGGCCCAGGUCCUAGCUGCCGAAGAAUACGGCCUCGAGCGCCCAACAAAGAGCUAUCCGAAGCGUCGGCUACUGCCACAAUUCGACGACGAGGCCCUUGAGCCAAUACCGUCAAGAUAUAAUCACGCUGACGAACCAGACCGACCACCACACGGAUGGGACAAAGUGGCUGCUUAUGCCGAACACCAGCCCGCGCCACCUCGCCGUCGAGGCAAAGAGAUAGCGGCUCCGGGCUACACCUAUGAUCUAUGAAAGGACCUGGACAAUAGAGCUGAUCAGACCAGAUCAAUCUAUGAAUCAAGGGGACGAGCUCCAACAAGAGACGACGACCAUCAAGCUUGGCGUGAUAAGCAUAACCAAACUCGGAAUGAAAACCGAACACGGAUGUCAUCUGAACUCCGUCAUGACGUUGCCCGAUACAGAGGCACCGCACACCCCUUGUGCUUUACCGAUGAGGUAAUGCAGCACCAGUUUCCAGAAAGUUUUAAACCCGUAAACAUUGAAGCAUAUGAUGGAACGACAGAUCCUACUAUAUGGAUUGAAGACUUCCUUCUCCAUAUUCACAUGGCUCGCGGUGAUGAUCUCCACGCCAUCAAAUACCUCCCCCUAAAACUAAAGGGACCAGCACGAGAUAGGUUAAAUAGCCUCCCAGAGAACUCUAUUGGCAGCUGGGAAGAUUUGGAGGAUGCCUUUCGAGACAACUUCCAAGGUACUUAUGUCCGACCACCGGACGCCGAUGAUCUCAGCCACAUAGUCCAGCAACCCGGAGAGGCAGCCCGCAAACUCUGGACUCGGUUCUUAUUAAAAAGAACCAACUCAUCGACUGUCCGAACGCCGAAGCCCUAGCGGCCUUUAAACAUAGCGUCCACAAUGAAUGGCUCACCCGACACCUCGGUCAUGAAAAGCUGGAGUCCAUGGCAGCUCUUACCACACUCAUGACCCGCUUCUGUGCGGGAGAAGAUAGCUGGUUAGCUCGCAGAAGCAACAGCACCAGCGACCCUGGCACCUCCGAAGCCAGGGAUGGCAAUGGAAGGCCACGAUGCAACAAACAUAAGUGUUAGAACAACAAUGAAGAUACUGAAGAUACGGCGGUCAAUGCUAGAUUCAGCGGCUCUAAACAUGUUCAAUGGAAGAAGCCAUUAAAAGGAAAUAGGGAUGGUCCAUCUAAUUUGGAAAAAAUACUCGACCGGCCUUGCCAGAUUCAUGGCACCCCUGACAAGCCUGCCAACCACUCUAACAAAAAUUGUUGGGUUUUUAAACAUGCCGGUAAGCUAAAUACCGAACAAAAGGGGAAAGGGCCGCCAAGCGAGGAUGACGACGAGUCCCGCCCAUCGAACACGGGGGGGGGGUCCCCAUGAGGUGAAAACAGUGAAUAUGAUAUAUGUUAGGCACAUCCCCAAGAGGGAGCGCAAGCGCGCACCAAGGGACGUCUAUGCCGUAGAGCCUGUCGCCCCAAAAUUCAACCCAUGGUCGGCUUGCCCGAUCACCUUCGAUCGCAGGGACCACCCGACCAGUAUCCGUCAUGGAGGUUCGGCAGCCCUAGUCCUUGAUCCAAUCAUUGAUGGAUACCAUCUCACUCGAGUCCUUAUGGACGGCGGCAGCAGUCUUAACCUGAUCUAUCAAGACACUGUUCGUAAAAUGGUUAUUGACCCAUCAAGAAUCAAGCCUAGUAACACCACCUUUAAAGGGGUGAUAGCCGGCAUAGAGGCCCGCUGCACGGGUUCAUUAACAUUGGAAGUAGUCUUUGGCUCGCCGGAUAACUUUCGAAGCAAAGACUUGAUCUUCGACAUUGUCCCCUUUCGCAGUAGCUAUCACGCACUGCUCCGACGAACUGCCUUCGCCCGUUUCAAUGUCGUCCCGCACUAUGCUUACUUAAAGCUCAAAAUGCCUGGACCACGUGGCGUUAUCAAAGUCAAUGGAAACAUGGAGCACUCCCUCCAUACUGAGGAGCACACCGCGUCCCUCGCAGCCGAGGUGCAGAGUGGCCUCAUCAAGCCGAACACGUCAUCGGCCAUCAAGACCCCGGACACUGCUAAGCGAGUCCGGCCUACUCUGCAGAAUGACAGCUCGGUUAAUCCAGAGCUAGACUAGCAGUUUUGCCUCUGCCGAUCGCCCCACACAACCGCGGCAUACGUACCGCAUGUGCAUAAUUAUGCACUCAAAAUACCCUGGGCAACGACGGAGGCACACUGCGGACAACGUCUAUAGUGCGGCUUGACCCUAUUUGACCUUAACUUUUCUUCUCUGAUCUUUUUCCUCAUACUACAGGUUCAUUAAAACCUAACUAUCCUAUGGUCAUGCAAGGGCUCUUUCCAGACCCCUUUCGUAUAAACGACCGUUGAACUGCUCCUCUCAAAGGAUUGUCUACCAAGGAGAAAUGGCGCAGAUGUGCGGCAGGGCAUCAAUGGGAUCUUCAAGACUACCUUUUUUUUACGCCCUGUUUAUAACUUCCCCUUGUGUACAAAUUCUCGGCAUGUAAAAUAGCCUUGAUGUUUACGGCAUUAUCUGUAUAGCACGUCUUAACGUGUUAAUCAGAGUAUAAAGGAAACAGUUUAUCGCCUCUGUUCGGUAUUCGUUUAUUUUACCACAUGUAUUCCGUCUUUGUUUCAGAUUGCCAUAUAUACUUUGGCCCGGCCUAAAUGCCGAGGGCUCUAUUUGGCCACACAUAUUUUCAUAAGUCCGAACACUUCUAAAGUAUAGUUCUGUGUCCCGAAUAUUGCAUUAUAUGCAUCAACUCCGAAUCAUGUCUUUGGUCAAUAGUUGGGUUGCCCGGCUCCUAUGAUUACCACCUUACGUUCCGCUCGUUUGUCUAAGGUAGUAAAGGGAGAACUACUGUGAUUGUGUUUCUGGUUCGUCCGGUUAAAAACCUUAGUAGAGGAAGCCGAAAAUUGACUGUCAUGAUAUGGCGAGAGCUGGUCGGCGAUUCAGCGACUUGCCACAAAUCUUUUGUGAUUUGCUCCAUAUUAUACGAAGGGCUGACCUUUGCUCAGUCAUGUGCUUAAGGCAUCCUAGUUCGGAUGGCCGCAUAUGCACUAGGGGCUAGUACUUAGCCCCACUGUCAAACUCCUAUGGCUAAGUGAAAGUAAUAAAGCCGUAUAGUCUGAUUGCCUAGUUCGCUGCGCAGACACCUCCUUUACGGACCAAGACGUUGGGUCAAGUGUGAUAGUGCGUUACACCGAACACCUCCGUAGUAUCUACGUGGGGGCUGAAGUUGACGACUCGCAAACUUUCAGAAUUGACACGGUCGCACAGGAGGAAAAUAAUUUCAGAUGAAGGCAUAAAUAUAUUACAAGCUUCAGUUCAUAAAACAAAGUCUGGACAGCCAUGAUAUAUUCAUUCAGAAAUAAUAUCCUUUUUGCAUUGGCCCUCUACUGGUCGGGGUGAAGAUACCCCGAACAAGCCCCUCAGAGGGUUACUUUCCAUAGUAACAAGUGACAGUAAAUUUCAGCACACUAUAUAAAUUUUUCCUUACCAAAUCCCACCUACCAAAGGCGCUUCACUCCCCGGCAACGGUGCCAGAAAAGAGUCUUGAUGACCCACAAGUAUAGGGGAUCUAUCGUAGUAGUUUCGAUAAGUAAGAGUGUCGAACCCAACGAGGAGUAGAAGGAAAUGACAAGCAGUUUUCAGUAAGGUAUUCUCUGCAAGCACUGAAAUUAUCGGUAACAGAUAGUUUUAUGAUAAGGUAAUUUGUAACGAGUAACAAGUAACAAGUGUAAAUAAAGUGCAGCAAGAUGGCCCAAUCCUUUUUGUAGCAAAGGACAAGCCUGUACAAACUCUUAUAUAGAGAAAAGCGCUCCCGAGGACACAUGGGAAUUAUCGUCAAGCUAGUUUUCAUCACGCUCAUAUGAUUCGCGUUCAGUACUUUGAUAAUUUGAUAUGUGGGUGGACCAGUGCUUGAGUGCUGUCCUUACUUGAACAAGCAUCCCACUUAUGAUUAACUCCUAUUGCAAGCAUCCGCAACUACAAAAGAAGUAUUAAGGUAAACCUAACCAUAGCAUGAAACAUAUGGAUCCAAAUCAGUCCCUUACGAAGCAACGCAUAAACUAAGGUUUAAGCUUCUGUCACUCUAGCAACCCAUCAUCUACUUAUUACUUCCCAAUGCCUUCCUCUAGGCCCAAACAAUGGUGAAGUGUCAUGUAGUCGAUGUGCACAUGACACCACUAGAGGAGAGACAACAUACAUCUCAUCAAAAUAUCGAACGAAUACCAAAUUCACAUGACUAUUUAUAGCAAGACUUCUCCCAUGUCCUCAGGAACAAACGUAACUACUCACAAAUCAUAUUCAUGUUCAUAAUCAGAGGGGUAUUAAUAUGCAUAAUGGAUCUAAAAAUAUGAUCUUCCACCAAAUAAACCAACUAGCAUCAACUACAAGGAGUAAUCAACACUACUAGCAACCUACAUGUACCAAUCUGAGGCUUUGGGACAAAGAUUGGAUACAAGAGAUGAACUAGGGUUUGAGAGGAGAUGGUGAUGGUGAAGAUGUUGAUGAAGAUUGACCCCCUCCCGAUGAGAGGAUCGUUGGUGAUGACGAUGGCGAUGAUUUCCCCCUCCCUGAGGGAAGUUUCCCCGGCAGAACAGCUCUGUCGGAGCCCUAGAUUGGUUCCGCCAAGUUUCCGCCUCGUGGCGGCGGAGUUUCUUCCCAAAAUCAAAAUAUCGAACGAAUACCAAAUUCACAUGACUACUUAUAGCAAGACUUCUCCCAUGUCCUCAGGAACAAACGUAACUACUCACAAAUCAUAUUCAUGUUCAUAAUCAGAGGGGUAUUAAUAUGCAUAAUGGAUCUAAAAAUAUGAUCUUCCACCAAAUAAACCAACUAGCAUCAACUACAAGGAGUAAUCAAUACUACUAGCAACCUACAUGUACCAAUCUGAGGCUUUGGGACAAAGAUUGGAUACAAGAGAUGAACUAGGGUUUGAGAGGAGAUGGUGAUGGUGAAGAUGUUGAUGAAGAUUGACCCCCUCCCGAUGAGAGGAUCGUUGGUGAUGAUUUCCCCCUCCCUGAGGGAAGUUUCCCCGGCAGAACAGCUCUGUCGGAGCCCUAGAUUGGUUCCGCCAAGUUUCCGCCUCGUGGCGGCGGAGUUUCUUCCCAAAAGCUUGCGUACACUACACCACGGUCAAGUAUUGGUGACACAUCAAUCUGUCGGCAUAUGGUGUCUUUGCCGACACAUAAUUUGUAGUUAACACAUAUGCUGACAGAAGACUGAACAGUCGGAGGACUUGUUGUGGGGAAAGGCAUUGCCGACAGAAGUUCAUUUGCCGACACAUUUUGAGUCGGCAUACACCCUACCUACGCCAACAGUUUCCUGUGCACAUACACCUACCUACCCCGACACAUGAUUUGUGGGCAUACACCCUAGCUACGGCGACAGACGGGGUGUGAACAUAGACCCCACUUUUGGCAACACAUAAGUUGUCCUGCUAGGUAUAUACCUUUGCCGACACUUGUUCUGUUUGGACAGAUCUAUACCUUUGCUGACACUUAUGUUGUCUAGAUAGGUACAUACCUUGGACGACACAUACCCUGUCUAGCUAGGUACGUACAAAUUGCCUACACUUAUUCUGUCUAGCUAGGUAGUAACCAUGGCUGACAAUUACUCUGCAAGAAUCUGUUUACCAGCAGAUAAAUUGUUGGAAAUGUAGUGUACAACCAAACCAAUGAUUUGAUACAUAUACUAUAUACAAUGUCAAAUGCGAUCAACAAACAACAUCAAGAUGAACACAUAUUGGAAAACAAUGAUGAUAGGUUCACAAACAUACAUAAAUAUAUAUUCACACAGGUUCACAAGCAUAGUUUGACCAUCCAGAACACACAAGUCAAAGGGCCACUAUUUGCUAGUCUGAACUAAUUCAAACAAUGGUCCAGAACACAUAAAUCACAUACAUGAGCACAAAGUUUCUACUCCAAAACACUUGAAGCACCAAAUGGUCCAGAACACACAUAAGAUUCAAGAAAUGAUUGAAGUUGGUUGGUCCAAAAUACUGCAAACAGCCAUAUGUGUUCCAUGACACUACAAGUCCUCCUCACAUCCAAUGCUAGGUGUGGCUAAGUACCUG